RNAcentral lists this long non-coding RNA (60804 nucleotides) under Triticum aestivum (bread wheat). RNAcentral's name for it is "long non-coding RNA (TAES_LNC027618)". The record is from RNAcentral. Lineage: Eukaryota; Viridiplantae; Streptophyta; Magnoliopsida; Poales; Poaceae.
GUCAAAAGAAGAAGAGAACUCCACCAUCUAUGUGUGUCUAUUUUCUUUCACGUGUGUUCACCCUAAAGCACAACAUACGAUGUGCCUCCAAAUCAAAUCAUUACUGGCGCGUAUACAAGAAUCGGCUAAUACAAUCCACACGGUGCGUGCCUUGCUCACUCGCACGUAAUAAUCUGCACCUGCACGCACGGCAACUUCUCCUCUCUAUACACAGUUUUGUGGUACAGAUUGAGCAGCGAUCGACUCUAACCCGUAGUACCCUCCCUAUACGCGCUGGAGGCGAACGAUGCUUAUUCAACGAGAGGAAGCGUGGACCAUCCAACCCCACCGUUUGUUUCAGGCAUCGUUGAAGGAGUCGUCGGUGGGCAUCCAGUACCUGUUGGUGAACCAGAGGGCGUCUGCCGCCACGGCGGCGCCGUCCUGGUUGCGGUGCCAGGCGUAGUAGGCGUGCGUCCGGUUCUUGAUGUCCAGGAUGGCGUGCCCGAAGCUCGCCUCUCUGAAGGCCGAGUAGCUCGGCUGCGGCUCCGACAUGCUGCACCAUCGAUCCCCACAAAACAAAUUAUUCCAAAGUACUCUUGAUCACUGAUUAGAGGAUGCAAGUUCUGUUCGAUCUUACUUGGUGGCCAGCCCUUCCUGGUUCCCCCCGUCGCCGAUGGUUAUGUAGACCGGCGCCGACUGGUCCGGGAUCGGAGAGCACAGCCCGUUUAUGAUGUUGUAUGCAACAUUUGAAAUCCUAUGCUGCAGCCACAGAGCAAAGCAGGCUCUAUGUAAGGAAGUCAUGACUGAAGUGUUGCUCUUAAGCAUAAGAAUGGAGCUAGCGCUCUGAACUAAUACAGCCAGUACUGGAUGCAAAAAUAAACAGAUAGAAAGAGCUGUGGGGAGAGAUAUUUGAGUCAUGAAACACAAUGAGAUGCACCGAAAAUUGCUCCAAUUUGAAAUCAAACUGAAUUCAACAAAAUGAUAAGUUAUCCUCGGAGAAUAACUUGGAAUGUAAACAAAGAUAGCAAUAGCAAGCAAGCCUUGGAGAGGAUUUGUCCACUUACUGUCCGUUCGUAGGCGUGGACAUGCCCUGCAAACACAAGAUCCACUUUGUACUUCACGAACCACGGCUCGUACAUCACUCUCAUGCUUUCACCUUCCAUGUAAUGGUAGUUGUAGCUGUUGUACCACGGGGCGUGCAUCAGAACGAUCAGCCAUGGCGUCUCGCUCCUGUUCACCUUGGGGAACUCAGAUUCAAGCCACUUGUACUGAGGGGUGUAUUUUCCUGGGAAAAAGCAACAGACCUGUCAACUCACCUUCAGCUUUGGUACUGGCUUAUCUGCAAAUAUGCCGCAGAUUCCACACUAGUAUAUGCUGAACUUGCUAAAACAUGGAGUCAGAAGAACAGAACAUACCGUAUGCGGAGUAUGAUGCCAGGACAAUGAUAUAUGCUGAGGCUCUUUUGAUGGAAUACCAGUAAGGUGCCGUGCUACCGGAAGACUUAUAGGGUGUGUGAUACCUGCUGCUGUAUGGCUUGAAUGGCUUCGUUUCGCCCUGCAAAUACGUGUGAUGUUCUUUUUUAACUAGCAAUAUGAUUUAUUAAAUGAGCUUUUAAAUGUAGCACGGUGUAAUUCAAUGAGCGCUUAAAUGUACUCCCUCCGUUCCUAAAUAUAAGUCUUUGUAGAGAUUCCACUAUGAACCACAUACAGAUCUAUAUAGAUGCAUUUUGAGUGUAGAUUCAAUCAUUUUGAAAUCUUUACAAAGACUUACAUUUAGGAACGGAGGAAGUAUAUAGCAUGGCUCCACUGGAUUGUUUUCUACUUGGUGCUUCUAUUUGAACUGUAAAAGCACCCACUGAAGCAUAAGAAAUGCGAAUAAAGUAUCAGAGAGAACAAUCCUUACAAGUUCCGGAGCAAAAUCUAUCUCGUGGUUUCCAGCUGUCCAGAUCCAAGGCUGGUAUGCAAGAUUCCGUUCUACAAAUCUUGCCCACGUAUCCCACCUUGUAUUAUCAUGAUAUGGGUAAUUAUCUGCAUAUGUCAGGUCCCCGACAAAAAGCACCGCCUGGGCUUCUGAAUUGGACUCGUAAUGAGCGAGCGUGACAUUUGAGUCGAAACUCUGACCGAGAUCACCUAAUCACAAUAGUAAAAUUCUCAGUAAUAUUACUCAUAAACCACAAUAGUAAAAUUAUGUUGGAGUUUAGACAUGAGCAUGCAAGCUAUAUCCUGAGCAAAUUACUCCCUCCGUUCCUAAAUAUAAGUCUUUAGAGAGAUUCCACUAUGAACCACAUACGGAUGUAUGUAGAUGCAUUUUAGAGUGUAGAUUCAUCCAUUUUGCUCCGUAUGUAGUCCAUAGUGGAAUCUCUACAAAGACUUAUAUUUAGGAAUGGAGGGGGUAGAUAAUAGUACCUAUCAGACCAAAUGUAUAUGGAACAUCUGGGCCACUUUUCGGAGGGGUCCUGAACCAAAACUUCCUCAGCGUCUCUUCAGUUCCAACGGCAUAGUAAUACUUUGUGUCAAACUGCAAUAAAGUUAUAAUUAAGUCCUGAAUCAAGAUUCCAGCCUUCAUAAAACAUAAGCAUUAAAUGUUUGCCGGGCCGGUAACCUUCAGCUUCUUGAUUGUACAAUGAUGAAUGUAUCCUGAGGUAUAUUUGUAGAACGUAUACUGCGAAUGCUUUCCCUUUGCAGAAUAGUUGAGAUUAUCUUCUGAAGUCCCGUAAAGUACUGUGCUUGAUCCAGGUUCCACUGUUGUCACCCACGGGAUUAUCAUGGCUGUACCUUCGUGGUCGCCUUGCGUGAUAUGAACCUGUUAGAGCACCUCAUCAAUCAGUAUGAGAGUGGAGAAUACACCAUGGAGCGUGGGCACGCGUUUUGUACUAUUUGUUUAUGCAACAGCGAUGUUAAGUAACUAUAUGGAGUAAGAAAUAACACACAUCAGUGUCAUGGAAAAGGCACCGAAUUAUAAAAUUGUGAACUAAGAUAAAGAAUGAUCGGAGAAGUACUUAUCAUGGAAAAGGGUGUCAUAGUAAUUAAUUCUAUGGAGUAAGACUAAGAAUAAAGAACUUCUUAGAAAGGGCCUCCACAACCAAUAAGCAGCAGUCGAACAGAAAUAUAUGAUGGCAGAGUAACCCCAAAGUUGCCUUUAGAACUGACUAAAGUAAAGAUGAGACGAACAACAAUUACUUUAAACCAUGAUCGCUGAUUUGUGAGGUUAAACUGUGGACUGGCAUUAAGUAAGUGUGGGAAGUAGCUCAAGAAGCACAGCACAUAAUUGGAAGCCACUGAACCCAUCCGCAGAGUAUCAGAGUACACUGAAAAUCUGCUACACAAUCACUGAGUUAACUGGAAACUGUUUCGAGACCAUGAGGUUAACUGGAAACUGUAGAUCUCCUGAGAGCAUAGCAUAGGUCAAUGAAACAGUAAAACAGUGAUUGUAUUUACACAUGUUUUUGAAGAAGUUUUCAUGGAGAAGCUGGUUUACACCAGAUACAAAAAAUGCACACUUAAUGAAUUGGAGAAACUGAACUUGUUGAAGCGCAACUGUGCCAACAACCAAACAUAAAGGAACCAUACGAAAUUUUCAGUAAUAGGUUGAGAGCGAUGACUAUCCACUUUAAAUAUCACAAAAGGCUCACUGGUAAACUGAUGAAAAGAACUAAAAAUGAACACAAGUAUAAGUCCAUUUAGGAGGCAUAGUUUAUGCAGCAGAAAUGCUCGAACUCAGGAAGAUAUGAGUUUAGAGGAGGAAAAUAAAAGUACUGAAAUGCCAAUCAACCGGAAGUUUUGGAGUCAUGCAGAAAGUCUUUGGCUGUAUCAUAGUAUCGACAAGUAACAGCUACUGUAAGACCAACAUGUAAAACAAGUACUGCAUGUAAUUACAGCUUGAGUUCACGACAACUGCAGGAUAUAUACCAACCACAUGGCGAGAAGGGCAAAUGAAUCCACAAUUAUAUGUUUCACUGAAGAAUAAGGACAGAAGAAUCCACGAUAGUAUAUCCAUCUCAUGCUUGCAAUUACCAGCUGUGUGGUCAACUGUUCGCCAAACGCCAGGUAGACUCUAGCCUAAACAGAUGGUAGUACUGUAUCAACGGAGGCAGAAGCGCAGUCUGCGGUUGGUUACCUGCUGCGGCGCAUUGUGGCCGGGCGGAGCGCGGAAGACGUCGGCGUCGAGCGGCAUGUCGAUGGCCUGGCCGAGCAGCCGCCGGUACUCGCUGGUCUGGCCGGCCCGGCAGGCGACGCCCAGCAGCAGGACGGCGCAGGCCACGGCCAGGGCAACCGCGCCGAUCCGGUUGGCCAGCCCCAUUCCCGCGGGGCUCUCCGCCUCCUCUGCUCCUCGCCGCUCUGGUUCUUGGUUUCCUUCCUGUCGCGGCUUCUUGGAGGUUGUACUCCGGGGACGGGAAUGGGAUCGCUUGUUCGAUUUCUUGACCGAUAAAUAGAGAGAGUUUUUAUGGUACCCUAUACCGCUGACAGUGGACGGAGCGGUAUAUUAAAAUCUAACCACUCAUUUUCUGAGGGUAGGAUAGACAUAGAUUUGUUGUCGUUGAACCUUAGCUACGUCGCCAGUCGGCAGAUAAUGGCAACCGGAAAUCGAUUUGUUGUCCCACGACUCAUCUACGGUCUCCUUCCAUCUCCUGCUCCUGUAGCUGGAGCCUGGAUGGAGGCGUCCCCCGAGUGGUCGUCCACCAUGACCUUCGACUCUAGCUCGUCUUCUUCGCCGCACACCCGAGGACCGCCGCCGACAUUAGCGUGCUCCCUUGCCGUCUCGUCUAUGUCCCCGGCCAUCUCGUCGCGUCUAUAGAGCCCGUAGUGAGCUGCCGCUCAUCCCCGCCUCAUUUUUCCCGUCGUUUUCAUCCACCAUAGCGCCCUGUCCGCCAUGGACGAGUCCCUGGAGGUCGUUCGAUCCAGACGCACACACCCACCCACGCGCCCGCCCAUCCGCAGUCCAUGCCCACAGGCCGCAGCAACAGCCGCAGUGCACGCGCCACAGCCCCGCAGUGACUGUUCCCGCCUCCUGCACGCGAGGAGCCCCGGAGCCUCGCCGCUUUCUGCGGUCAGCGCAAUCCUACAAGGCAUGCCGUGGCAGCCAGACACCAUGGUCUCGCCUGCCGGCCCUGCCGGCCGCCGUCGCGGACAAGCAGCGUGCGCCGGGAGGCAUCGCAUGUCUGGAAGGCGUCACCGUCAGUUUCGAGGUGCUCCACCUUGCCGGCCCAGACGUCCUUGCCACGGUGGUCCAGUCCAUGGAGGGCGAGAAGGCGGGUCGACGCGGCCGAGAAGGGGUGAUGCGGCGCGCACUGCUGGAGGGCAGGUCGACGGAGUAGACGAGCGCAAAGCUCCGACGCAGGGCACCUCCAGGGACGGGGGAGAGCAGCGGGGCGCCUGUAUAUACGAAGAUGAGGAAAGACUAGUCGCGGCCUCGCGGUGGAGCAGCGGUGUCGGCGCGGCGGGUCCUCCUUUAGCACCUAGCGGUAUGAGGAAAAGGAGGAGGGUGGAGGGACGGGAAAGAGCAGCGGGGCGUUGCAGUCAUCCUGAUUCGCCAUAGAUGGCCAGGCGCAUGCCGGCGGCGGCUUGAACUCACGUGGGCGCGGUGGGGAGCGAAAUGGGAGGGCGAGGGCGGGCCGGCGGGUGUGCUGAAACUGAAGCAUUUUACUUCCCAAAAUGCCCUCAGGACUUGUAUACUGGAGGAAGGGAACGAAGCAGUGCAAGUUAUACCGCUGGCCAUUCUAUUGCCAAAUUGCAGCAGUAUAAAUCGGUCGCCACCAUUAGAUUUCACAAAAUGGAUGGCCAAUAUUUGUCCCCGGGUACCAUAAAAGAGCUCUAAAUAAAGAUGGGUCAAGGCAAGAAGGCAGGAGAUAUGUAGGGGGAAUGGAAUAUGCUCAUCCGGGCUGCCAAGAAAUAAAAUCGGGGAUGGCGACCGCCGGCGAGCAUUGAUUGAUUACUUCAUGGUUUGAACUUCGAACACGCACGCGGGUUGAGGUGGGACGGGGAUUGUAGGAGCGGCCAGGUUGGGACUUGUCGGCGAUCGGAAGCCGCCAAGUGGAAGAGUGGGCCGGAUUUUGGAGGGGACAAGAACUUCAGUUGUUUUAUUUCUUUUAUUUUAUUUUUGCAGGCAAGGACCUUCAAGCAAAUGAUUUUAGGGCAGCACUGGGCGCCGGUGCGCCGGCCCAAAAUUUGGGCCGGUCGGCCCCAGCCUUCCGAUCCUUCCAGUGUAACCGUUCGAUCGAGCAGUAGUGCCUUCUUCCUCCCGAUGCAGAAACAUGCAGUAGUGCCUCUUCGCCCCUUGCUCCCCCUGGCCUCCUGCUUGCAGCUCCGCACGCUGGCUCGCUGCGCCGUCGCCGCUCGCCGGAACAACUCGUCGAAGCUCGCCAGAGCAGCUCGCCGGCUAGGCGGUUGCCGCGUUGGUGCCCCGUGUGGUUCUGCGCCUUCUGCCCUCCUAUGCAGCAAAAUAUGCUGCUGGUUCCAGCAAAUUAAAUCGCAGGUUGUAGCAUCAUGGUCGUUGCUCCAUUGUAACCGGCUGUAGAAAUUAUGACUGCCGGCCGCAGCUCACCAUGGCCUCUUGUAGCUUCCACCGACGCAGGUUGUAGCUUGCACAAAACACUGGUUGUAGCAAAAAAAAAAAAUAUUGUCGCCGGCGUUGGGUCAACAUACUCAUUGUGAAAACGGUUGUAGCAUUAGUCGACGACGCCACACCGGUUUGCAGCUCUGGUGUACGUGGUUGUAGCAUCUCCGUGAACUCAUUGUAUCUCCUGUGACAUACAGUUGUAGCAUGACGUUGCCCGCCUAAAACUCCGGUGAACUCCGGCGAACUCGGAUUGCAACUCUAACAAACAUGGUUGUAGCUUUUUUGGUGAACGGUUGUAGCAUUUGUCGACACACUUUGCCGGUUGUAGCUCCGGUGACACGCAUUGUAGCAUAUUUGCAAGCUGGUUGUAGCUUUUGUGGUACGUGCUUGUAGCAUUGGCGACUCCAUCAUCAGCAGAGCCUCGUGCAGCAACCUCACAUGCUGGUCAUGGUUCACCCACCCCGUUGCUCCUGCUGUUUGCAGCUCCUCCGCCUGCCGGUUGUAGCUCCUGCGUAGCCCGACGUAGCUUUUCCGUCCGUCGGUUUCAGCUUCCCCGUCGUGCUUCCUCCUCUGUCCUGCCUUCCCUGGUCCAUCUCUGUUCUUUGUGGCGUCGGGGAGCAGGAAGAAAAAGGCCGGCGAGCCAUAGGAGAGUGAUAUAAAAAAAGGAUCAGAUGGGGUCCGUCGAUGGAGGCCUUGCCGAAGAAGCCGCGGCGCUCGCCGGCCAGCGCCUGAGGUCACGGGGGCAGGGGGGUCAAAGGAGGAGCCGAGGAGGGAGGUCAAUGGUGGAAGGAAGAAGAUAAGGCAAAAGAAAAAAAACUGGAAGGAGGACGCGCAACAGACGGCUGGAUCAGGUGGAUCGAACGCGAGCAACGCGACCGGCCGAACGUUUCGGCCGGCGCGCUGGCAUGAAACGUUUUCCAUGAUUUUAUUUAGAGCAUGUACAACGACUUGGCAAAUACAUCCCCUCAAACGCCCGUGGAUAUGGCCGGCCACACUUGCGGGCGCAUCCGGACGGACCCUCAUAUUUCGGUCCCGACAUCCAUAUAUCUCAAAUUCGGACUCUCGAAUCCAUGCAAAUACAUGCACGUCGAUUAUACAAGACAAUGUCGCACGUAAAUAGCAAAUGUUGGUACGAAGCAUAGAUAGCGUUUACAUAAAAUUUAUAUUAAGUGCCAAACUCAAGCAUUGUCUCGUUGGUUGUCAUUAUGGGUCCACAUGUGCUCCACAAGAUCAUUGAGUAGUUGUGUGUGCACCUGCUGAUCUCGAAGAGUAUGAUGCAUCUGCAGAAAGUACAUCAGCUGAGCCGCAUCUUGAUCUCCUGGAUUUCAACUUGUUCUCCAGGUGCUUCAAAAUCAUGGGUUUGGACUACACCAUCACCCUCAUCCUCGGCAAUCAUAUUGUGCAGAAUAACACAACAUGUCAUCAGCUGUCACAAAGUUUCUUAUUCUCGCAUCAUUGCAGCGCUCUGCACAAUUCCCCAACGAGGUUGAAGCACACCAAAUGCCCUCUCCAUAUCCUUCCUAACCGCUUCCUGCAUUGUUGCAAAAUGGCUCUGUUUAUUGCUACGCGGCUCGGAUAUGGUCUUCACAAAUGCCACCCACUGAGGAUAGAUAACAUUGACAAGAUAGUAGCCCAUGUUGUAGUCUCGGUUGUUGACGGUGUAGUUGCACGACGGUGAUUCCCCAUUUCAAAGCCUCCUGAACACCGGAGAUCGUUGAAGCACGUUGAUGUCGUUGUGAGAACCCGGCAUUCCAAAAAAAGCAUGCGAAAUCCGUAAGUCAUGUGAUGCCACCGCUUCUAGUAUGGUGGUGGCCUCUCUAAUGUGACCUUGAUACAUUCCCCGCAGACCUUUGGGGCAGUUCUUCCAUUGCCUCUGCAUGCAGUCAAUCGCUCUGAGCAUUCCUGGAAACCCCCUUGCCUCUCCAAUAGCCAACAAUCUAUGUCCUGCACAUUUGGUUCUCUGAGAUACUCAGGUCCAAACACCUCUACCAUGGCGCGGGAAAACUUAACAGCAGUCUUCAGGCAUGUGCUCUCCCCAUCCUGACCAUCUCACCAACGGCAUCUGCAGCAGUACCAAGUGCAAGCAUCCUCAGAGCAGCCGUGCACUUCUGCUUGGCCGAGAAAGAGAGUUGGCCGCAGCAAUCCCUUGUGAGCUUGAAGUAGUCGCCGUGUGCCUCUACUCCCUCCACAAUGCGCAAAAACAAUGGUUUCCACAUGCGAAAAUGGCGACAAAACCAUGGAUCAUCCGAGAAAGUAGGUUUGGGAGCAAAAGUCCUUGUGCAAUAGCUUUGCUCCGGACAUCCUAUCCCGGUUGAUCACUUUUCUCCCUUUGAUUAAGCCUUUGAAGUUGAGAAUAUGCUCCACUUGCUGGUCCAAUUUCUCUUGCAUGCUCAUGAGCAUAAUCAUGUCCCUUCUUCGUCCGAAUCCAACAAAUCGAAGAACUCAUCUUGAAUCAUUUGGACAAGCUCCGUCGGUCCAUAAUCCUUAUCCGACGAAGCAUCAAAAUCCAUCGUUUUACCUAACAAAAUCACAAAAAAUCUGGUCGAACAAUAUGUCGAACACAUCAAGCGCAAGGCGGGAGCCAAAGAGUUGUCGGAAGUACCAGGGUGGCGUCCGGGCCAACGGCGACAUCCCCCGCGGCGAGGACAGGAGGGCUCUUCUGGAGCUAGCGGUGGAGAGCCUCAGAUCUACUGCAUGGCUGGCGGAGUGCGAGACGGAUGGCGCAGAGGAGGAAGAAGAGAUGAGAUAGCAAAUGGAUCCGGCUGGUCUUCGUGGUGGAUUUGGUGCAAUUUGGCGGUGGGGUCGGGCUGUCGGGUCUGACGUGGUGCGCGUGCGCGGUGUAAGGGCAUUCUUGUCCCUUAGUAGUUUUGGUGAUUGAUGACAAUGCUUUUGCGGACUAAUCGUGUGUAUUGAGCUUUUCAGAUAUAUCAUGACUAAACACAAGACGAUUUGAUGACCCUCGAAGAUUAUUGAAGAUCGGUUUCUCUACGGUUCUUUUCGGUGGAGUUGAGUCAUAGGAAAGCCGUACUAUUAAGAGGGGGUCCGCUUUGGAAAGAUUUGGGUGGAAUCUCACGUACAUGUCCCUUUUGCACCGCCUUUCCUUUGGCUCUUUGGAGUUUCCUCCAUCUCACCUUGUCUCUGCGAAAUGAAGGACUCCGAGUUACCCUUCUCAGGCUGGCGGUAGUAUUGCUCCUCUGAGCGGUACUACCGCAGGAGCCAGUGGUAGUACGAGGCUCCGGCACGGCAGAACCGUGGGCUUCCACGGUAGUACCACUCCUCCUAAGCGGUAGUACCGUGAGUUCUGGCCUGGCGCUGCUGCUCAAGCGGUAGUAGGGGCGGAUGUAAUUUUUUACAUCCGCGCCCUACGCGGUAGUACCAUGCUGCGGCGCGGUAGUACCAUGUCGCCAGGUCAGGUACAACAGCAGGAGCGGAGGUAGGGGCGGAUGUAAUUUUUUACAUCCGCACCCUUCACGGUAGUACCGCACCCCUGGUUCUCGGUAGUACCGUGUCGGAUUUUUGCAUCGAUAAAAUCUCAACGGAGGUAGUCACGGAUGUAGGGCUAGUUUGGUUCACAUCCUUGGCUCCUUGCCUGGAAAAAUCCGGUGCCUGGCGUUGGCCUGGUAAAGACAUGAUUUCCUGCCUGUCCAGGCUAGCCUGGCAGCUGUGCUUUUGGUUCGUACCCUGGCAGGGUACUACAUCAUCGAGUCAUCCAGCGAAUAAAAAAUUCUUAAGCAAAGGUUAGGCGUGCUGUGGCACGUCCAGGCAUAAGGAAUUGGAAGCCUGGGCCAGGCAAAUCCUAUUGCCUGGGCUAGGAAUCUUUUUUAUUCUUUAUUUUUUUCAACCUGACCAGGCUAAUCACAUUGCUGAGCAACCCAGGCCAGGCAUGUACUUUCUUUCUCAGGACACAAACAAAACAGGGACCAGGCAUGCUUCAGGCACCCAUCCAGGCCAGGCUUGUGGUGGUGUGGACACCAACCAAACACACCCGUAAUUUUUUACAUCUGUGCCUACCGUGCCUGGACUGUGGCUGCCCUGCGGUAGUACCUCACAGGGUCGUGGUAGUACCACGCCUGCGGUUCUACCGCACCCUGUCUGUGCUCUUCUGUUCAGGUCCAGGCUCUGUCGCGCCCAUGGUAGUACCGUGGUCCACCGCGGUAGUACCGCAGGCCCGUGCGCUAGUACCGCUCCUGUGGUGCGGUAGUACCGUGGGUCGCAGCCUGAGUGGUGGGUAACGGUUGGAAUUGUCCCCCCACUAUAUAAGGGGGUCUUCUUCUCCAAGAAGACUCGCCUCUUCCAUCCCUAAGCUCCAUUGUUGCUCCAAGCUCCAUUUUCACCCGAUCUCUCUCCCUAGCCAAUCAAACUUGUUGAUUUGCUCGGUAUUGGUUGAGAAGGCCCCGAUCUACACUGCCACCAAGAGAAAUUUGAUUCCCCCACUAAUCCCUAGCGGAUCUUGUUACUCUUGGAUGUUUGAGCACCCUAGACGGUUGAGGUCGCCUCGGAGUCAUAGUCCAUUGUGGUGAAGCUUCGUGGUGUCGUUGGGAGCCUCCAAUUAAGUUGUGGAGAUUGCCCCAACCUUGUUUGUAAAGGUUUGGUUGUCGCCUUCAAGGGCACCAAUAGUGGAAUCACGGCAUCUCGCAUUGUGUGAGGGCGUGAGGAGAAUACGGUGGCCCUAGUGGCUUCUUGGGGAGCAUUAUGCCUCCACACCGCUCUAACGGAGACGUACUUCCCCUCAAAAGGAAGGAACUUCGGUAACACAUCCUCGUCUCCACCGGCUCCACUCUUGGUUAUCUCGCGCCUUUACUCUUGCAAGCUUACUUCUGUUAUAUCCCUUGCUUGCUUGUGUGCUUGUUGUUGUUGCAUCAUAUAGGUUGUUCACCUAGUUGCAUAUCUAGACAACCUACUUUGAUGCAAAGUUUAAUUUGGUAAAGAAAAGCUAAAAAUUGUUAGUUUCCUGUUCACCCCCCCCCCUCUAGUCAACUAUAUCGAUCCUUUCAAUUGGUAUCAGAGCCUCGUCUCUUUAUUAAGGACUUUGCCGUCCGAAGAGUAUGCUUGACACCGUAGACGGUGGGGAGGAGGAGCACUCCGGUGUGAAUCCGAUCUCGUCUACGGGUGAUGGGGAAACCUCGGUGUCCCGUGAGGAAUUCAAUGUGGCCUUGGACACAUUGAAAACCUCCAUGACAACCAAGGUUGAAAGCAUGUUUAAUAAAUUCUUAGAAGGACUUAAACUACCUACCUCGCCGUUGAAAGUGGGUGAUCCCGCUAACAAGGUGACGGAUGCUAACUCUGACAAGGGCGAAGCUAAUAGUGAGAAGGGUCCUUCUACUAGUGGUAGAAAUGGCACCGACAUCUUUGCCCAUGUGGAACCUCCAACUUAUGGAGGACCGAUUCCUUCUACUCAUUUAUAUCAUGCCGGCCCUCCUCCUAAGAUUGUGAAAAAUGAGGAUUUUGAUUAUUGGGUGUAUCGCUUCAAGCAACAUUUAAAUCAUGUGAAUACUAAUCUUUGGAGAACCAUUGAAGAAGGUUUCUAUCCACAUGACUGAAGCAACUUCACCCCUAGAGAAGCAGUGGAUAAUCAAUUCAAUGAGAAUGCUCUCUUCAUCAUCCAAGAUGCUAUCCUCCCCGAAGAUCUCCCUCAUCUCCGACCCCAUGCCAUGGCCAAGGACGCAUGGCAAUGCAUUGUGUCUCUCUAUCGGGGAAGUGCAAGCAUUCAACGCUCCAACUAUGAAGUGGUGCAAGAUGAAGCCGAUGAGUUUGCAAUGAAAGAAGAUGAAGAACCUCGUGAGCUCUUUCGGAGAGUAACCAAACUCGCGGUCUCACUCCGAGAUCAUGGGAGCAAGGACACGGAUGACAAUUGGAUCAAGCGCAAGUUCCUCAAGGCCAUGAUGCCCUACAACAAGGCCAUGUCCUCCGUCAUUCGUCAAAGACCGGACUUCCACUCCAUGACCUCAAGUGAAGUGUUGGAUGAGUUCGUUGCAAUGAGCAUCUUGGACAAGACCGCCGACAACGCGGUGCUCCGCUCUCAAAGGGCAAAGAAUCCCAACCUUUCCUUGAAGGCCAAGGUUAUUGUGGAAGAAGAGGAAGAAUAGGAAGAUGAGGAGAGCAACCCCGAAGAUACAAAAUAUGAUUAUCAUGAGCACAUGGCUCUUGCUUCAAGGCAAUUUUGGAGCAAGAAGAACUCAAGGCCCAAUUUCAACAAGACCAACUCAAGUGGCUUCAAGGGCAAGCAACGAGUAAGAACUUGUUACAACUAUGGCAAUGUGAGCCAUUUCGUUGCGGAUUGUCCUUACGAGAAGUGGGAAGACAAUGGUGGCAAGCUCAUCCGAAAAGACAAAGCCAAGUCCUUCCCCAACAAGAACAACUUCACCAAAAAGACUCCUACUCGAGGGUUGGUGGUUCAAGAAGAAUAUCGUGAGGAUGACGAUGAUGAUGAAGAUAGUGAAGCAAUGGCCAUGGCAUCCGUUGCCAUUGCCACAACUCCCCGGAUGUCUCUAUUCGAUUCACCCAACGAGAACAUCACCGCCAAGUGCCUCAUGGCCAAAGCCUCUAACAAGGUAACCCCCAACAUCAAAACUACCAUCAUUACUAAUCCCUCUUUGACGGGUUGCAUUGAUGAACAUGAGGGGUCUAAUGAGGAUGUGAAUGAAUUUGAGUCCUUUAUGAUUAAGCUCAAGGGAAAAUCCAAGAAGCACUUUGUUGCUCUCUUGGAACAACUUGGUGAAGCCAAUGACAUGAUCGAGGCUCAUGAAGAAACCAUCUCUAAGAUGGAAGGUCAUAGUCGUGACUAUGCCGAUGAGAUUUCGGAUCUCUCUGAUGCUCUUAAGGAAGAGCGUGGGCAUCAUUUGGCUCUUGAGGAGUCACACAACGAUGACCAUGCUAAGUUAAAGAAAGAUCUUGAUCAUGCACUUGUUGUGUCUCGUGUGCUAACUUCUGAGAAGGCUAAACUUGGGGUUGAUCAUGCUAGACUCAAGGAGGAGUUUGAUGUACUUGACAAGGCCCACAAAGUCUUGAAGAGUGCUCAUGCUAACCUCAAGGAGUCUCAUGCUCAACUCCAAGUUAAGCUAACCAAGGAAAAGGCCACCUUUCCUCAUAUGGUAUUAAUUGAUAAUGCAUAUGCUACUAACCCGUGUUGUGAGCAUGUGCAUCUUGUGGAGGAGAAUGCCAAGCUGAAGGAUCAACUUGAGAAAAGGCCUUGUGACAUGCAUUCAAGGUGAGAAGAACCUCAAUGACCUUUUGAGCAAUCAAAAGGAAGUUGUGGCCAAGGAAGGAAUUGGGUUCGCACCCAAGUCCAAGAACAAGAAGAAGAACGACAAGACCAAAUGACCUCCUCCUCUCAAGCAAACUGUUGUGAAAGAGGGAGAGGGUGCUCCUAAGGAGAAUAAGAAAAUUGUGAAGGGUGUUGAUGUCAAAAAGGGCAAAACCACCUCCUCCAACAAAGCUGGCGACUUUAACCCAUCAUAUGUGUUGUGUUGUGCCGUGCUAGUGAUGGGCAUGUUUAUGCUAAAUUUGUUGGUUCUCCUUAUGAGUACAUUGAAUGGUCUAUUUGGGUUUCUAAGACCCUUGUUACUAACAUAAAAGGACCCAUUACAAAAUGGGUACCUAAAACCAAGCAUUGAUCUCGUGUAGGUGUUUGCUUCCGGUGGGGGAUCAUAGUUGCUUGAUAGUGGAGCAACGAAUCAUAUGACCGGAAGCAAGGACUUGGUGGUGGACGUGCACAAGAUUCCUUCUAUGCCCACCAAUGUCGAGUGGGGUGAUGCCUCGUCUUCUAAGGUAUUGGGUCUUGGCAAGGUUGUCAUUUCUCAUGAUCUAACGAUCGAGAAAGUCAUGCUUGUUGAGUCCCUUGCAUUUAAUCUUCUUUCCGUUCGUCAACUUGCACUCAUGGGCUUUGCCACUUUCUUUGAUAUUGAUACCGUGGCCCUCUUGUGAAGCAAGACUCUUAAAGUAGCCUUUGUUGGGCAUGUCGAGAAUGGUCUUUAUGUGAUUAACUUUUCAGAGCAACCCACUGAGACCGCGACAUGCCUAAUGGCUAACGUUGAUGUGGGAUGGCUUUGGCAUCGCCAUUUAGCCCACGUCAAUAUGAGAUAUUUGCAAAGUCUUCUCAAGGGGGACCAUGUCCGUGGACUAACAAAUGUUAGUUUUGCCAAAGAUCGUGCUUGCAGUGCUUGUAUUGAAGGAAAGCUUCAUGAGAAGGCUCACCCUCCCACGACUAUCAUCUACUCGAUGAGACCCUUGGAGCUCCUUCACAUGGAUCUUUUUGGGCCUCCAUCCUUUGAUAGUCUUGGAGGUAGAAAGUAUUGCUUGGUGAUUGUGGACGAUUAUUCAAGAUACACUUCGGUAUAUUUCUUCAAGAGGAAGAGUGAAACUCAACGAACCGUCAUCGACUUUGCAAAUGAAGCUCAACGUCAACAUGAUGCAAAGAUCCUGACAAUAAGAAGUGACAACGGCACCAAGUUCAAGAACUACACCUUGGAUGAGUUUCUUAGUGAUGAGGGGAUCAAGCAUCAAUAUGCCGCACCAUAUACCCCUCAACAAAAUGGUGUUGCGGAGAGGAAGAACCGGACAUUGAUGGAUGCGGCAAGGACCAUGAUGGCGGAGUUCAAGUCUCCAUACAACUUUUGGGUUGAAGCCAUCAACACAGCAUGUCAUGCAUCCAAUCGGCUCUAUCUCCGCCAAGGCUUGAACAAGACUCCUUAUGAAAUACUUACCGGUAACAAGCCCAACCUCAAGUACUUCCGGGUGUUCGGGUGUAAGUGUUUCAUUCUCAAGAAAGGUGUUCAUUUGUCUAAAUUUGAGGCUAGAGCUUAUGCUACAAACUCUCAUGCUUACCGUGUCCUCAACAAGUCCACCGGACUCAUUGAGGAGACGUGUAACGUGGAGUUUGACGAAAAUAACGGCUCCCAAGUGGAGCAAAGUGGUACUUGUGAUGUAGGUGAUGAAAUCCCUCCCCAAGCCAUAAGAAGAAUGGUUAUUGGUCAUAUUCUACCCAUUGAGGAACCCCUUGUGGCCGAAGGAGAAGGACAAUGCUCCACUCUAGUGGAGCCAUCACCUCCCCAAGACCCACAUACUUCCCAAAAACAAAGUGAAGGCCCUCAACCUCGUGAACAAGACCAAGGGCAAGAUCAACCUCAAGAUGGUGGUGAACCACCAAAUGAUGCCCAAGGUCUAGUUCUCCCCCUCGAUAAAGUUCAAGAUCAAGAGCAAGCUCAAGAUCUAGAACAAGCUCAAGACGACGCUCAGGAUAAUCAAGUUAAUCCUCCUCCUUCCACAUCCGAGGAGGAACUAGAGUGUCAUGUCGUGAAGAUUGCUUCCAAGCUCACCACCCAAGGUCAUCUCAUGGAGAACGUGGUUGGAAUCCUAAGAAAGGGGGUAAGCACUCGUAGACAAUUAGCAAACUAUUGUGAACAUCACGCGUUUGUCUCUUGUGUUGAACCCCAAAAGGUCUAUGAGGCGCUCAAAGAUUCGGAUUGGCUCAAUGCCAUGCAUGAAGAACUCAACAACUUCGAGUACAACAAGGUGUGGAUAUUGGUGCCAAGGCCGUCGGGGAACCGCAACAUCAUUGGAACCAAGUGGAUAUUCAAGAACAAGCAAGAUGCUCAUGGGAACAUCAUUCGCAACAAGGCAAGAUUGGUAGCACAAGGCUACUCCCAAGUCGAGGGUAUCGACUACCGUGAAACCUUUGCUCCCGUUGCUCGCCUUGAAUCCUUUCGUUUGUUGAUUGCUUAUGCUUCCCAUCACAACUUUAAGUUACAACAAAUGGAUGUGAAGAGUGCUUUUCUUAAUGGUCCUAUUAAUGAGUUGGUUUAUGUCAAGCAACCCCCCGGGUUCGAGGAUCCCUACUUCCCGGAUCAUGUGUAUCAACUCGAUAAGGCACUCUAUGGCCUUAAUCAAGCCCCGCGUGCGUGGUAUGACCACCUUACCGAGUUGUUACAAGAUCGUGGAUUUGAGGUUGGGCAAAUCGAUCCCACUCUUUUUACUAAGAAGGUCAAAGGGGAGUUGUUUGUAUGCAAACUAUAUGUUGAUGAUAUUAUCUUUGGUUCCCCUAACAAAGCUUUCAAUGAGGAAUUUGCCGCUCUCAUGACCUCUAAGUUCAAGAUGUCUUCGAUGGGAGAGUUAAAGUUCUUCCUUGGUUUCGAUAUCUAGCAAAGAAGAGAAGGUACCUUCAUCAACCAAGCCAAAUACACUCAAGACAUGCUCAAAAGAUUCAAGCUAAGUGAUUUCAAGUCGGCUUCUACUCCAAUGCCUACCAAGUGCCAACUUGACAUUGAUCCCAAUGGUAAAGCGGUGGAUCAAAAGGUAUAUCGCUCCAUGAUUGGCUCCUUGCUUUACCUUUGUGCAUCUAGACCGGAUAGCAUGUUGAGUGUGGGAAUAUGUGCACGGUUUCAAGCCGCACCGAAGGAAAGUCACUAUGUGGUGGUCAAACGAAUCUUUCGAUAUUUGGCUCAUACCCCAAACUUUGGCUUAUGGUACCCAAGAGGAGCAAACUUCAAGCUUGAAGGAUAUUCGGAUUCCGAUUGGGCGGGAGACAAAGUGGAUAGGAAGUCCACUUCCGGAGGGUGCCAAUUUCUGGGUUGCUCUUUGGUAAGUUGGUCUUCCAAGAAGCAAAGUUGUGUGUAACUCUCGUCCACCGAAGCGGAAUAUGUGGCGGCCAGUAGUUGUUGUGCUCAACUCUUAUGGAUGAGGCAAACUUUAAAGGAUUACGGUGUCAUUUGUGACAAAGUGCCUCUUUGGUGUGACAAUGAAAGUGCCAUCAAGAUUUCUCUCAACCCGAUGCAACACUUCAAGACGAAGCAUAUUGAGAUUCGGUAUCACUUCAUCCGGGAUCAUAUUAGGCGAGGGGAGAUCGAGCUCAAGUAUGUCAACACUCAUGAUAACCUUGCAGAUAUUUUCACGAAGCCCUUGGAUGAAGCAAGAUUUCGCAAGUUAAGGUAUGAGCUAAAUAUCAUUGAUUCGAGCAAUGUGACUUGAACCCUUGCACAUCCCACCACACUCAACUUGUUGUCUAGUUUAGGUGUAGGCAUGGACAUAGGGGGAGUGUUGUUCUCUCAAUGAACUCUCCCUCCCCCAAUUAUGCAUAAAUUGAUCAACUCUUUCACAUUAGCCAUUUUUAUGGUACUUGUGCUUCAAAGACGAGUUUUGGUCAUGGGCCCAAGGAUAAUUCUUCGCGGUGCCAUACCAAUUGACUCAAACAUAGGUGGCUCCAGCCACCGCCCUCUCCUUGGAGAGGUUGUGUCUCGUGGUUGGUCUUCGUUGUCUUGUGCUUUCCUCUUCCCUGUGCCGAGUUUGUGUCAUCGUUUGUGUUUGCCUCUUUGUUGUUCGGUGUUUCCGAAGGAUGUUUUGCUUUUGCUCUCUUUCUCUUGUGUGAAACUUGCACUUUCUUGGGUUAUGGUACUACCGUGGCAAGCCACGGUACUACCGCAGGAGUUGGUAGCUUUGCGCUUGCUCAGUUGCCUCCCAGGGGCACGGUACUACCGCUACCACCGCGGCAGUAAUUUUUUACUGCCGCUAGAAGAGCGGUACUACCGCCCAGCGCGCGGUACUUCCGCCCGGGCGGUACUACCACGAUGACCCGCGGUACUUCUGUGCCCACGCGAGCAGGUGGGGGUUAAGAGCGAGACAGGGGGAGUUCUAACUCCCCCAUACCCAUUCAUCUCUAUUCCCCACGCCGUCUCUCUCUCUCUUUCCUGCCCAAGAACGGCGCCGGAGGUCUUCGUCGGAUCUCCGUCUCUGGUCGCUCUCCUCGGAUUCCGACCGGUGGGACCGUUCCCCAACUCGCCCUCUUGCCAUGGACCAAGGUUUUUCCCCAAGUUCCUCUCCUUUUCGUCCUUCCGUGCUUUUAGGUCUUGGGGAGAUGCAUGUGGUGUUCUUGAGAUUUUUGGCUAAAUCUGUGCAAAAGGGAUUCGUAGGGGCGUGGUAGUGUAGUAAGCAUGCUCUUUGGAUAGGCAAAAUAGUUCCGGUUGAUCAACGGUAGUACCGAUGUAGUCGUGUGGAGGUUCUAGAUCCAGAUCCGCAACUCUAUGUCGUGUUUCUUGAUCCGCACGGUACUACCGCUCCUCCUGGAGCGGUACUACCGCAGCCUCGCCUGUAUCUGGCGCCAUGCGGUACUUCCGUAUCUUGGUGCGGUACUACUGCUUGGCGCCCGGAAGUAAAAAAAUUACUUCUGCCCCAGGCGCGGUACUACCAUGCCACCCCGGCACGGUACUACCACGGCUGAAGCAGAUGUAAUUUUCUACAUCCAUACACUGGCCCGGUACUACCGUAGAUUCAUCCAGCGCUCUUUUUAUGUCCAGAUUUCGUGCUUAUUUGUUUCCUUCAGCUUUGGCCUUUGUCUUUUGCAUUGAUCUGUCUUGUUUCUCGUGCGUGUUCUUGUGUUUUGUGUCUAGGUGGUGGCUCCGGUUCUCUUGCUCGUCACUCGAAUCCCAGACGUGACACAGGGUCAAAGCAGCUGCGCAACCCAAAUGAAGCUCCAGAGGGGUCAUCUGCUUCCCAACGCAGGACCAAGCACACCGCCAACAAGCAGAAGGAGCCCGUCAUGGGCAUGGAUGAGAUGCCCCAGGCCGAGUUUGUCAUUCGAAGGAAGCUCAAUCCCUAUGUGAAUCCCGGGCUAACUUGCGAGGCAAUGAUCUCUUCUGGACCAAGCAGCAGAAUCUGAUCAAUCUGGAUGUGAUCAAGGCCAAGCAAAACCUCUAUGUGGAAGUUCACUAUAUUGACAUGCAUCAUAUGAGGCAGGACAAGCACCGUGGGUACUUUGGAGAGGCCUUGGAUCUAGUGGAGCAGUUCGGCAUUGAGCACUUGCUCACCUUCCACAAGGAUUUUGAUCCAGAGAUCAUAGCACGGUUCUUUGCUUCGGUCUACUUUGGCGUCGAUGAAGCAAGGACCAUGACUUGGAUGACCAAUGGUCGCUGGAUGUCUGCUACAUGGAAGGAGUUCAUGGAGUUGCUUAACGUUCCAGAUAAAGGGCUCGACACGCCAGUUGGAGUUCGCCCUCAUGCCAACUCUGAGUCUGCCAACAAGAACAAGCUCAUGCCAUUCCUUGUUCAGAAGACUCUUCCCAGCAACAAGAAGGUGUGGGUGCUUAACCCCUUCCUUGACAUCAUGCAUCGGCUCUUCCGGAAUACCCUCUUCCCACGCAUUGGUGACAUGGGCCAGGUGCAUGCUUACCUUGUUGACAUGAUGCUCCUUUGUGAGGAGGCUCGUUAGGCUCAGACUCAGCCACUUGAUGUCUCACAUAUCAUGUGGUGUGAGCUUUAGUUCGCCGUGUUCAACCGUAAGGUCCCCAUCUAUGGGCCUUACCUAUUUCACCUGAUCUCUAAGCUUGGGAGAAGCACUUUCCCAAUGAUGAGUUUGAAGCUCUAGGUUGGAUUCGUCAUGAGCCCAUCAGGCUCCGCAUCAAGCCCCAAUAGGCUAACACCACCACUUCUGCUGAGGCUGCCAGGAUGGCUGUGGAUGAGGAGGAGAUUGAGGAGGAAGAAGUUGCUGAGGACCGUUCUACUUUCACUACUCCCUCUACUGAGCCCUCUUGGGCGAAGAAGCUGAAGAUCAAGAUGAAGAGGCUUUUCUGCAUGCAGGUCCAAAGUCAGUACAAGUGAAGGAAAUAUGCCCUAGAGGCAAUAAUAAAGUUAUUAUUUAUUUCCUCAUAUCAUGAUAAAUGUUUAUCAUUCAUGCUAGAAUUAUAUUAACCGGAAACAUAAUACAUGUGUGAAUACAUAGACAAAACUAUGGUCACUAGUAUGCCUCUACUUGACUAGCUCAUUAAUCAAAGAUGGUUAUGUUUCCUGACCAUAGACAUGUGUUGUCAUUUGAUUAGUGGGAUCACAUCAUUAGAAGAAUGAUGUGAUUGACAUGACCCAUUCUGUUAGCCUAGCACUUGAUCGUUUAGUAUACUGCUAUUGCUUUCUUCAUGACUUAUACAAAGUUCCUGCAACUAUGAGAUUGUGCAACUCCCGUUUACCGGAAGAACACUUUGUGUGCUACCAAACGUCACAACGUAACUGGGUGAUUGUAAAGGUGCUCUACAGGUGUUUCCGAAGGUACAUGUUGAGUUGGCAUAAUUCGAGAUUAGGAUUUGUCACUCUGAUUGUCGGAGAGGUAUCUCUGGGCCCUCUCGGUAAUACUCAUCACCUAAGCCUUGCAAGCAUAUAACUAAUGAGUUACUUAUGAGAUGACGUAUUAUAGAACGAGUAAAGAGACUUGCCGGUAACGAGAUUGAACUAGGUAUUGGAUACCAACGAUCAAAUCUCGGGCAAGUAACAUACCGAUGACAAAGGGAACAAAGUAUGUUGUUAUGCGGUUUGACCGAUAAAGAUCUUCGUAGAAUAUGUAGGAACCAAUAUGGGCAUCGAGGUCCCGCUAUUGGUUAUUGACCAGAGACGUGUCUCGGUCAUGUCUACAUUUUCUCGAACCGUAGGGUUCGCACGCUUAAGGUUUCGAUGACAGUUAUAUUAUGAGUUUAUGUAUUUUGAUGUACCGAAGUUUGUUUGGAGUCCCGGAUGUGAUCACGGACAUGACGAGGAGCCUCGAAAUGGUCGAGACAUAAAGAUUGAUAUAUUAGACGGAUAUAUUUGGACACCGGAAAGGUUCCGGGAGAGUUUGGGAAUAUACCGGAGCUCCGGGAGGUUACCGGAACCCCCCGGUAAGAAUAUGGGCCUUAUUGGGCCCUAGUGGAAGGGAGGGAGAAGGAGCAAGGGAGGGGGCGCCCCCCCCCCAAGCCCAAUCCGAAUUGGGAGGGGGGCCGGCCCCCCCUUUCCUUCUCUCCUUUCCCCUCUUCCUUCCUACUACUACUACUCCUUCCUUCCCCCUCCAUCUUGGAUUAGGAAAAGGAGGGGAAACCUACUUGGAGUAGGUUUCCCCCCCCCCCUAUGGCGCACCUCCCCCUUGGGCCGGCCACCUCCUCCCUCCCUCCUUUAUAUACGGGGGUAGGGGGGGCACCCUAGACACACAAGUUGAUCAUUAAGAUCGUUCCUUAGCCGUGUGCGGUGCCCCCCUCCACGAUAUUACACCUCGGUCAUAUUGUAGCGGUGCUUAGGCGAAGCCCUGCGACAGGAGAACAUCAAGAUCGUCACCACGCCAUCGUGCUGACGGAACUCCUCCCCGCGCCUUUGCUGGAUCGGAGAUCGGGGUGUGUCAUCGAGCUGUACGUGUGUCAAGAACUCGGAGGUGCCGGAGUAACGGUGCUUGGAUCGGUUGAACCGGGAGGACGUACGACUACUUCCUCUACGUUGCGUCAACGCUUCCGCUUCGGUCUACAAGGGUACGUAGACAACACUCUCCCCUCUCGUUGCUAUGCAUCACCAUGAUCUUGCGUGUGCGUAGGAAUUUUUUUGAAAUUACUACGUUCCCCAACAGUGGCAUCCGAGCCUAGGUUUUAUGCGUUGAUGUUAUAUGCAUGAGUAGAACACAAGUGAGUUGUGGACGAUAUAAGUCAUACUGCCUACCAACAUGUCAUACUUUGGUUCGGCGGUAUUGUGAGAUGAAGCGGCCCGGACUGACAUUACGCGUACGCUUACGCGAGACUGGUUUCACCGUUACGAGCACUCGUGCUUAAAGGUGGCUGGCGGGUGUCUGUCUCUCUCACUUUAGUUGAACCGAGUGUGACUACGCCCGGUCCUUGUGAAGGUUAAAACGGAGUCUAUUUGACAAACUAUCGUUGUGCUUUUGAUGCGUAGGUAAGAACGGUUCUUGCUAAGCCCGUAGCAGCCACGUAAAAUUUGCAACAACAAAGUAGAGGACGUCUAACUUGUUUUUGCAGGGCAUGUUGUGAUGUGAUAUGGUCAAGACGUGAUGCUAUAUUUUAUUGUAUGAGAUGAUCAUGUUUUGUAACCAAAGUAAUCGGCAACUGGCAGGAGCCAUAUGGUUGUCGCGUUAUUGUAUGAAAUGCAAAUGCCCUGUAAUUGCUUUACUUUAUCACUAAGCGGUAGCGAUAGUCGUAGAAGCAAUAGAUGGCGUAACGACAAUGAUGCUACGAUGGAGAUCAAGGUGUCGCGCCGGUGACGAUGGUGAUCACGGCGGUGCUUCGGAGAUGGAGAUCACAAGCACAAGAUGAUGAUGGCCAUAUCAUAUCACUUAUAUUGAUUGCAUGUGAUGUUUAUCCCUUAUGCAUCUUAUCUUGCUUUGAUUGACGGUAGCAUUUUAAGAUGAUCUCUCACUAAAAUUAUCAAGAAGUGUUCUCCCUGAGUAUGCACCGUUGCCAAAGUUCGUCGUGCCCAGACACCACGUGAUGAUCGGGUGUGAUAAGCUCUACGUCCAUCUACAACGGGUGCAAGCCAGUUUUGCACACGCGGAAUACUCAGGUUAUACUUGACGAGCCUAGCAUAUGCAGAUAUGGCCUCGGAACACGGACACCGAAAGGUCGAGCGUGAAUCAUAUAGUAGAUAUGAUCAACAUAGUGAUGUUCACCAUUGAAAACUACUCCAUCUCACGUGAUGAUCGGUCAUGGUUUAGUUGAUUUGGAUCACGUAAUCACUUAGAUGACUAGAGAGAUGUCUGUCUAAGUGGGAGUUCUUAAGUAAUAUGAUUAAUUGAACUUAAAUUUAUCAUGAACUUAGUCCUGGUAGUAUUUUGCAAAUUAUGUUGUAGAUCAAUAGCUUGCGUUGUUGCUUUCAUAUGUUUAUUUUGAUAUGUUCCUAGAGAAUACUGUGUUGAAAAUUGUUAUAAGCAAUGAUGCGGAUUGGAUCCGUGAUCUGAGGUUUAUCAUCAUUGCUGCGCAGAAGAAUUAUGUCCUUGAUGCACCGCUAGGUGACAAACCUAUUGCAGGAGCAGAUGCAAACGUUAUGAACAUUUGGCUAGCUCAAUAUGAUGACUACUUGAUAGUUUAGUGCACCAUGCUUAACGGCUUAGAAUCGGGACUUCAAAGACGUUUUGAACGUCAUGGACCAUACGAGAUGUUCCAGGAGUUGAAGUUAAUAUUUCAAGCAAAUACCCGAGUUGAGAGAUAUGAAGUCUCCAACAAGUUCUAUAGCUAAAAGAUGGAGGAGAAUCGCUCAACUAGUGAGCAUGUACUCAGAUUGUCUGGGUACUUCAAUCGCUUGAAUCAAGUGGGAGUUAAUCUUCCAGAUAAGAUAGUGAUUGACAGAGUUCUCUAGUCACCAUCACUAAAGUUACUAGAACUUCGUGAUGAACUAUAGUAUGCAAGGGAUGACCAAAACGAUUCCCGAGCUCUUCGUGAUGUUGAAAUCGACGAAGGUAGAAAUCAAGAAAGAACAUCAAGUUUGAUGGUUAACAAGACCACUAGUUUCAAGAAAAAGGGCAAAGGGAUAGAAGGGAACUUCAAAAGAACGGCAAGCAAGUUGCUGCUCAAGUGAAGAAGCCCAAGUCUGGACCUAAGCCUGAGACUAAGUGCUUCUACUGCAAAGGGAAUUGUCACUGGAAGCAGAAAUGCCCUGAAUAUUUGGUGGAUAAGAAGGAUGGCAAAGUGAACAAGGGUAUAUUUGAUAUACAGGUUAUUGAUGUGUGCCUUACUAGUGUUUAUAGUAUCCCCUGAGUAUUUGAUACUUGUUCGGUUGCUAAGAUUAGUAACUCGAAACAGGAGUUACAGAAUAAACAGAGACUAGUUGAAGGGGAAGUGACGAUGAGUGUUGGAAGUAGUUCCAAGAUUGAUAUGAUCAUCAUCGCACACUCCCUAUACUUUCGGGAUUAGUGUUAAACCUAAAUAAAUGUUAUUUGGCGUUUGCGUUGAGCAUGAAUAUGAUUUGAUCAUGUUUUUUGCAAUACGGUUAUUCAUUUAAAGUCAGAGAAUAAUUGUUGUUCUGUUUACAUGAAUAAGACCUUCAAUGGUCAUACACCCAAUAAACAUAAUUUGUUGGAUCUCGAUCGUAGUGAUACACAUAUUCAUAAUAUUGAUGCCAAAAGAUGCAAAGUUAAUAAUGAUAGUGCAACUUAUUUGUGGCACUCUCGUUUGGGUCAUAUCGGUGUAAAGCGCAUGAAGAAACUCCAUAAAGAUGGAUUUUCGGAAUCACUUGGUUAUGAAUCAUUUGAUGCUUGCGAACCGUGCCUUUUGGGCAAGAUGACUAAAACUCCAUUCUUCGGAACAAUGGAACGAGCUACUGACUUAUUGGAAAUAAUACAUACUGAUGUAUGCAGACCAAUGAGUAUGAAGGCUCGUGGCAAGUAUCGUUAUUUUCUGACCUUCACAAGAUGAUUUGAGCAGAUAUGGGUAUAUCUACUUGAUGAAACAUAAGUCUGAAAUAAUUGAAAGGUUCAAAGAAUUUCAGAGUGAAGUGGAAAAAUCAUCGUAAUAAGAAAAUAAAGUUUCUGCGAUCUGAUCGCGGAGACGAAUAUUUGAGUUACGAGUUUGGUCUUCAAUUAAAACAAUGUGGAAUAGUUUCACAGCUCACGCCACCUGGAACACCACAACGUUAUGGUGUGUCCGAACGUCAUAACCGCACUUUAUUGGAUAUGGUGCGAUCUAUGAUGUCUCUUACUGAUCUACCAAUAUUUUUUUGGGGUUAUUCAUUAGAGACAGCUGCAUUCACAUUAAAAGGGCACCAUCUAAAUCCGUUGAGACGACAACAUAUGAACUGUGGUUUAGCAAGAAACCCAAGUUGUCGUUUCUUAAAGUUUGGGGCUGCGAUGCUUAUGUGAAAAAGUUUCAUCCUGAUAAGCUCGAACCCAAAUCGGAGAAGUGCGUCUUCAUAGAAUACCCAAAGGAAAUUGUUGGGUACACCUUCUAUCACAGAUCCGAAGGCAAGAUAUUCGUUGCUAAAAAUGGAUCCUUUCUAGAGAAGGAGUUUCUCUCGAAAGAAGUGAGUGGGAGGAAAGUAGAGCUUGAUAAGGUAAUUUGUACCUUCUCCCGAAUUGGAAAGUAGUUCAUCACGGAAAUUAGUUCCAGUGAUUCCUACACCAAUUAGCGAGGAAGCUAAUGAUGAUGAUCAUGAAACUUCUGAUCAAGUUGCUAUAGAACCUCGUAGGUCUUCCAGAGUACGGUCCGCACCAGAGUGGUACGGUAAUCCUGUUCUGUAAGUCAUGUUACUAGACCAUGAUGAACCUACGAACUAUGAGGAAGCGAUGAUGAGCCCAGAUUCCGCAAAAUGGCUUAAGGCCAUGAAAUCUGAGAUAUGAUCCAUGUAUGAGAACAAAGUAUGGACUUUGAUUGACUUGCUCGAUGAUCAGCAAGCCAUGUUAAAUGAAUGGAUCUUCAAGAGGAAGACGGACACUGAUAGUAGUGUUACUAUCUACUAAGCUCGACUUGUUGCGAAAGAUUUUCAACAAGUUCAAUGUGUUGAAUACGAUGAGAUUUUCUCACUUGUAUCGUUGCUUAAGUCUGUCUGAAUCAUGUUAGCAAUUGCCACAUUUUAUGAAAUCUGGCAAAUGGAUGUCAAAACUGCAUUCCUUAAUGGAUUUAUUAAAGAAGAGUUGUAUAUGAUGCAACCAGAAGGUUUUGUCAAUCCUAAAGGUGCUAACAAAAUGUGCAAGCUCCAGCGAUCCAUCUAUGGACUGGUGCAAGCAUCUCGGAGUUGGAAUAUACGCUUUGAUAAGUUGAUCAAAGCAUAUAGUUUUAUAUGGACUUACGAUGAAGCCUGUAUUUACAAUAAAGUGAGUGGGAGCACUACAGCCUUUCUGAUUAGUAUAUGUGAGUGACAUAUUGUCGAUCAGAAAUGAUGUAGAAUUUUUCUGCAAAGCAUAAAGGAGUGUUUUAAAGGAGUUCUUUAAAAAGAAAAGACCUCAGUAAAGCUACUUACAUAUUGAGCAUCAAGAUCUAUUGAGAUAGAUCAAGACGCUUGAUAAGAUUUUCAAUAAGUACAUACCUUGGCAAGAUUUUGAAAUAGUUCAAAAUGGAAUAGUCAAAGAAAGAGUUCUUGCCUGUGUUGCAAAGGUGUGAAAUUGAGUAAGACUCAAAUCCCGACCACGGCAGAAAAUAGAAAAGAGAAUGAAAGUCAUUCCCUAUGCCUCAGUCAUAGGUUCUAUAAAGUAUGCCAUGUUAUGUACCAGACCUAUUGUAUACCUUGCUCUGUAUUUGGCAAGGGAGUACAAUAGUGAUCUAAGAGUAGAUCACUGGACAUUGGUCAAGAAUAUCCUUAGUGAGGACUGAGGAAAUAUUUCUCGAUUAUGGAGGUGAUAAAAGAGCCCGUCGUAAAGAGUUACAUCGGUGCAAGCUUUCACACUGAUCCAGAUGACCCUAAGUCUCAAUCUGGAUACAUAUUGAAAGUGGGAGCAAUUAGCUAGAGUAGCUCUGCGCAGAGAAUUGUAGACAUAGAAUAUUUGCAAAGUACAUACGGCUCUGAAUGUGACAGACCCGUUGACUAAGCCUCUCUCACGAGCAAAACAUGAUCAGCACCAAGACUCCAUGGGUGUUAGAAUCAUUACUAUGUAAUCUAGAUUAUUGACUCUAGUGCAAGUGGGAGACUGAAGGAAAUAUGCCCUAGAGGCAAUAAUAAAGUUAUUAUUUAUUUCCUCGUAUCAUGAUAAAUGUUUAUUAUUCAUGCUAGAAUUGUAUUAACCGGAAACAUAAUACAUGUGUGAAUACAUAGACAAAACUAUGGUCACUAGUAUGCCUCUACUUGACUAGCUCAUUAAUCAAAGAUGGUUAUGUUUCCUGACCAUAGACAUGUGUUGUCAUUUGAUUAGUGGGGUCACAUCAUUAGAAGAAUGAUGUGAUUGACAUGACCCAUUCUGUUAGCCUAGCACUUGAUCGUUUAGUAUACUGCUAUUGCUUUCUUCAUGACUUAUACAAAGUUCCUGCAACUAUGAGAUUGUGCAACUCCCGUUUACCGGAAGAACACUUUGUGUGCUACCAAACGUCACAACGUAACUCGGUGAUUAUAAAGGUGCUCUACAGGUGUUUCCGAAGGUACAUGUUGAGUUGGCAUAAUUCGAGAUUAGGAUUUGUCACUCCGAUUGUCGGAGAGGUAUCUCUGGGCCCUCUCGGUAAUACUCAUCACCUAAGCCUUGCAAGCAUAUAACUAAUGAGUUAGUUAUGAGAUGACGUAUUACAGAACGAGUAAAGAGACUUGCCGGUAACGAGAUUGAACUAGGUAUUGGAUACCGACGAUCAAAUCUCGGGCAAGUAACAUACCGAUGACAAAGGGAACAAAGUAUGUUGUUAUGCGGUUUGACCGAUAAAGAUCUUCGUAGAAUAUGUAGGAACCAAUAUGGGCAUCCAGGUCCCGCUAUUGGUUAUUGACCAGAGACGUGUCUCGGUCAUGUCUACAUUGUUCUCGAACCGUAGGGUCCGCAUGCUUAAGGUUUCGAUGACAGUUAUAUUCUGAGUUUAUGUAUUUUGAUGUACCGAAGUUUGUUCGGAGUCCCGGAUGUGAUCACGGACAUGACGAGGAGUCUCGAAAUGGUCGAGACAUAAAGAUUGAUAUAUUGGACGGAUAUAUUUGGACACCGGAAAGGUUCCGGGAGAGUUUGGGAAUAUACCGGAGCUCCGGGAGGUUACCGGAACCCCCCGAUAAGUAUAUGGGCCUUAUUGGGCCCUAGUGGAAGGGAGGGAGAAGGAGCAAGGGAGGGCCCCCCCCCAAGCCCAAUCCUAAUUGGGAGGGGGGCCGGCCCCCCCUUUCCUUCUCUCCUUCCCCCUCUUCCUUCCUACUACUACUACUCCUUCCUUCCCCCUCCAUCUUGGAUUAGGAAAAGGAGGGGAAACCUACUUGGAGUAGGUUUCCCCCCCCCCCUAUGGCGCGCCUUCCCCUUGGGCCGGCCACCUCCUCCCUCCCUCCUUUAUAUACGGGGGUAGGGGGGCACCCUAGACACACAAGUUGAUCAUUAAGAUUGUUCCUUAGCCGUGUGCGGUGCCCCCCUCCACGAUAUUACACCUCGGUCAUAUUGUAGCGGUGCUUAGGCGAAGCCCUGCGACAGGAGAACAUCAAGAUCGUCACCACGCCGUCGUGCUGACGGAACUCCUCCCCGCGCCUCUGCUGGAUCGGAGAUCGGGGUGCGUCAUCGAGUUGUACGUGUGUCAAGAACUCGGAGGUGCCGGAGUAACGGUGCUUGGAUCGGUUGAACCGGGAGGACGUACGACUACUUCCUCUAUGUUGCGUCAACGCUUCCGCUUCGGUCUACGAGGGUACGUAGACAACACUCUCCCCUCUCAUUGCUAUGCAUCACCAUGAUCUUGCGUGUGCGUAGGAAAUUUUUUGAAAUUACUACGUUCCCCAACACAAGGCCCAUGUUGCUCAGAAGGAGGGUCGUCGUCGCGACAACAGGAUCUUGAGGGCGUGCGGCGAGGACGUGGACAGCGGCUCUAAGAGGCACAUCACCCCCGAGGCUGCCUGGAUGGCUAAGCAGGGCUACAAGUGGACCGAUUCUGAGGAGGAGUACAUUCCUGCUGCGGAGUCUGGCGACGAGGAGUCGUUUUCUGCCUGAGCUACCACCUUUGUUGUAGGUGCCCUCUCUGCCUUUUUGGUGUCUCGAUGCCGAAGGGGGAGAGAGAGUAGGAUCUGUGUGCCGUGUGUUGUGUGCUUCGCCGUUUGCUUUGCUUUCCGUAUGUUGAACUUGUUUGCUUUGGUUUGGUUGUGCUCGUGAGAAUAUGUUUAUCAUAUGGUGUAAGACAUAUGCACUCUAUGGUACCUUAUUACCUUAUUGAGCUUAUGCUAUAUUGUGCUAUUUAUGUUUUGCUCAUAUUUACUAUCUUGUUUAGUGUUAGCCUUAUCAUUGCAAGAUAUGCUUUAUCUCUAAAAUAUAGGGGGGGUGGUGAUCCUAGUAUUCGUGCCGUGCAGUCCAAAGCACUUUACUCUCUAUCACGAAUCUAGGGGGAGUUCGUCUAUAUUCUAGAGAUGAGGGGUUUGCUUGUGCUAUAUUCUUUCCCUUUGUGUACUGUCAUCAAUCCACCAAAAAAGGGGAGAUUGUAAGGGCAUUCUUCUCCCUUGGUAGUUUUGGUGAUUGAUGACAGUGCUUUUGCGGACUAAUCGUGUGUAUUGAGCUUUUCAGAUAUAUCAUGACUAAACACAAGACGAUUUGAUGCCCCUCGAAGAUUAUUGAAGACGGGUUUCUCUACGGUUCUUUUCGGUGCAGUUGAGUCAUAGGAAAGCCGUACUAUUAAGAGGGGGUCCGCUUUAGAAAGGUUUGGGUGGAAUCUCAUGUACACGUCCCUUUUGCACCACCUUUCCUUUGGCUCUUUGGAGUUUCCUCCGUCUCACCUUGUCUCUGCGAAAUGAAGGACUCCGAGUUGCUCUUCUCAGGCUGGCGGUAGUACUGCUCCUCUGAGCGGUACUACCGCAGGAGCCAGCGGUAGUACCGGGAUCUGGCAUGGUAGUAUCGUGGGCUUCCACGGUAGUACUACUCCUCCUAAGUGGUAGUACCGUGAGUUCUGGCCUGGUGCUGCUACUCAAGUGGUAGUAGGGGCGGAUGUAAUUUUUUACAUCCGCGCCCUACGCUGUAGUACCGUGUUGCGGCGCGGUAGUACCGUGUCGCCUGGCCAGGUACAACAGCAGGAGCGGAUGUAGGGGCGGAUGUAAAUUUUUACAUCCGCACCCUUCACGGUAGUACCACACCCCUGGUUCGCGGUAGUAUCGUGUUGGAUUUUCGCAUCGAUAAAAUCUCAGUGGAGGUAGUCACGGAUGUAAUUUUUUACAUCUAUGCCUACCGUGCCUAGACUGUGGCUGCCCUGCGGUAGUGCCGCACAGGGUCACGGUAGUACCGUGCCUGCGGUUCUACCGCGCCCUGUCUGUGCUCUUCUGUUCAGGUCCAGGCUCUGCCGCGCCCACGGUAGUACCGCUCCUGUGGUGCGGUAGUACCGCGGGUCGCGGGCUGAGUGGUGGGUAACGGUUGGAAUUGUCCCCCACUAUAUAAGGGGGUCUUCUUCUCCAAGAAGACUCACCUCUUCCAUCCCUAAGCUCCAUUGUUGCUCCAAGCUCCAUUUUUGCCCGAUCUCUCUUCCUAGCCAAUCAAACUUGUUGAUUUGCUCAGUAUUGGUUGAGAAGGCCUCGAUCUACACUUCCACCAAGAGAAAUUUGAUUUCCCCCACUAAUCCGUAGCGAAUCUUGUUACUCUUGGGUGUUUGAGCACCCUAGACGUUUGAGGUCACCUCGGAGUCAUAGUCCAUUGUGGUGAAGCUUCGUGGUGUCGUUGGGAGCCUCCAAUUAAGUUGUGGAGAUUGCCCCAACCUUGUUUGUAAAGGUUCGGUCCCCACCUUCAAGGGCACCAAUAGUGGAAUCACGGCAUCUCGCAUUAUGUGAAGGCGUGAGGAGAAUAUAGUGGCCCUAGUGGCUUCUUGGGGAGCAUUGUGCCUCCACACCGCUCUAACGGAGACGUACUUCCCCUCAAAAAGAAGGAACUUCGGUAACACAUCCUCGUCUCCACCGGCUCCACUCUUGGUUAUCUCGCGCCUUUACUCUUGCAAGAUUACUUGUGUUAUAUCCCUUGCUUGCUUGUGUGCUUGUUGUUGUUGCAUCAUAUAGGUUGUUCACCUAGUUGCAUAUCUAGACAACCUACUUUGAUGCAAAGUUUAAUUUGGUAAAGAAAAGCUAAAAAUUGUUAGUUGCCUAUUCACCCCCCCCUCCUCUAGUCAACUAUAUCGAUCCUUUCACCCGGGAGUUUGACGGCCGUUUGAGGGGCCCAUCUGGGUCAAAAAAUAGUGACCGGACAGGUGACAAGGCGGCCCGCCCGGGCAUGGCCGUUUGAGGGGCCCGUCUGGGUCAAAAAUAGUGACCGGACAGGUGACAAGGCGGCCCGCCCGGGCAUAUGAGGCGGGUUUGAGGCGUCCGGCUGUAGGUGCUCUUACUACCCUCAUUUGUUUGAGCGUCAACUAAUUCGAACGAAGAAAGUGCCUAAUUUGAUAUUUUUUUUGUGAACGAUUUGAAGGUGGAUUGGCCAAGCACAGUUUGUUGAUUACUAAAGAAUAAAAUUGGGAUUGGUCUCCUUGGUUGGGGCAGAUGUAAGUGGUUGUUGCAUGCAUGGAAGGAGAAACAACUACCAAUGGGAGGCAAAUAUAUUCUACUCUUAUCAUAUGCCAAUUUUGAAAGCUCCAAAGGGGUAUGCGAAAGUGUCAUGGAUGUUAUGCAUUGAUAUGCUUUGGUCAAAAUUGAGUUUUCCUACGAGAGAGGGUGGUCAUGAUUUUCCAUAUUUACGCUCAUUUUAUUCAGCAAUCUUUGAUAAUCCACUAUCAAGAAAAUUCUGAAGUGUGAUGUUAUCGAAGGCUACGUAGGAGCGGUUCAAAUGCCUACUUCAAACCAUUGUUGCCUCGAUCUAAACUUUUAAAUGCAAAUAUAUUUGGAGAAUCCGGGGAUAGCAUUUCAUUUGGGAAGACCCUGGAGUCCAUCAAGCUCAUCAAGGAAAUACUAACCCUAGGAGGGAGGGGAUGUCAUUAGAAAAGUGAAUAAUCCCAUACACCCAUUGACUGCAAAAAUGGGUUGAAUAUCUUAUAAGGUUUAUAUUCUGACCAGUGGAUGUAAGAAAAAUAUUACAAACAAUGCUUAACGUAAAGAUUUUUGAUGAAUUCGUUACACGACAAUAUACAAGGUGGAAGCAAUUCUCGGUCCAAUAUCUUAUCAUGUGGAGUGGCGGCAUCAAUUUGGCCACAUAAAUCUAUAGCCUUGACCAUCGACAACUCAUUCUGCAUCGGAUACUCUUUGGAACGUGUACGUGUCGGACAAGGUAAAGGUUCAUUAUUGGAGGGCGCUACAAGGUGUUAUACCUGUUGGAAAUAUGAGCAAAUUACUAAGAGAUUUAAUCCGAAUAAACAGAAGAUAAAUCAUGACUACAGUAGCAGAGAUUGAACUAAUCAUGCAAACUAGCAUAGCAGAUGAACAGAUCACAUCCAGGGCACAUACUAGAAACAUGAAUUCUACCACGAUCUCGAACAGGAAAGAUAGAAUCACAUACAAUGCAGCAGGAGCAGCACCGCCGGCAUUGACGUUGUCGCCCAUGUUGUCGAGGAUGAGGUUGUCGAGGUCGGGGAAGAAGUCGUACUUCGCGAAGUCGUCGCUGCCAGCAGUCGCACGAGUGCGCUCCCCAAAAACCUGGUCGCCUCUCUCCCGUACAGGAUCACGAGAGGCGGGGUUCCGGACGCCUGCUGUCCCUUCUCCCGGUGCACGCCGAAAGGAGGGAUGGAGAAGACUUGUUUGGCGACGCAAUGAUUUGGAACUAUGGUGAGAAACCAUGCAAAGCGGCGGCGGCGGCUAGGGUAGACGUCUGACUGACUAUAUAGUGCGGGCCGGGUAGGUCGUGGGAGUAAACCCCACGUCCGAGUCGUCGCGAUCCAAAAGAAUCGAAAAUGGUUCAGUAAUUAAUGUGUCCGUUAAUUAUUAAUUAAUGACUCAUUAAUUUUUCCCGAGCAGAAAAAAUAUAGACAACAUGCAUAGCUCUGUCCUCGGCUCGGCUCAAUCCCGCAACCCGCGGCGCGUCGUGACGAGGCGAGGCGAGGCGUGGCAAGGCGAGCAAGGAGGAGGAGCGCGCGUGUAGGUCUCCUCUUCUCAGGCUCAUACAAGUGGUAGAAGAGGUCACCUUAUAAAGAGGUGCAACUCUCUCUCAACUUAUGAGGUGGGACUAAACUUUAUCCUCACUCACUCCACUCACAUGUGUGCAUGAAUGGGCCAAGAGAAUUUCAGAAUUUUAGUUGGGCUUUGGGCCAAAAGCCCACUAGCAAACUCCAACAAUCCCCCACAAAGUCUCAUUAGCACAUUUCACCAUUUGGUUCCAAAACAUUGUUUAUAUACCGGUGCUUAGUGGAGACUGUGAAGUUGAACUUCCACUUAGAGAUUUAUGCUACAAUAGAUCACAACUUGAAUAGUGGACUAUGCCUUGAACUACAAGUUUUAUGCGAGACUAGUUUCACACAAAUUCUUGACCGAUACUGGGCUGCCGCAAGGCUUCCCCGCGGGUGGAGCGUAUACAUCGUACUCCAGGGCCUUUCAUGAAUUUAUUAGAGAGCACCCACUUCUCACAGACUGCGACGUUAAUAGUCAAAUUCAUAUAGGUGUGUUCCUCAGGAGAUGCUCUGCAGGACAACAUCUCUGCUUACUCAAAUAAGCCACUUGGAACACAUUAAGAUAGAUAUCAACCUGCCAUGCAGAUCAGGAGAGUAUUGCAUCUUCACGGAGUGGGAUAAUUAAAAUAAGGAUACUCUCCUCUCAGCUGACCAAUAGCUUGUCUCUCACUUCUACUUCACGGGAUCUCCGAUCACAUAGAGUGGGUUACCACUAUGGACAACUCAUGCGGUCGGUCUCAAACCCAUCUCCAUCCAUGCAUUAUCUAUCACAUUAUGUGAUAGACCCUUUGUGAAGGGAUCUGCCAAGUUUUUUGACGUUUGGAUAUAAUCCAACAUAAUAACUUCGGAGUUCCUCAGUUUCCUGACAGAUUUUAACCUCCUCUUCACAUGCCUUGAGGGCUUCAUAUUGUCCUUAGAACUGUUUAUCUUGACGAUCACAGUUUGAUUAUGAAAGUUCAUCAGGAUAGGGGGUAUUGGUUUUUCAACCAUAGGUAAGUCCAUCAAUAGCUCAUGAAGCCACUCUGCUUCAACAGCGGCAGUGUCUAAUGCUGUGAGUUCUGCUUCCAUAGUUGACCUUGUUAAGAUGGUCUGCUUGCAAGACUUCCAGGAAACAGCGCCACCACCAAGUGUAAAAACAUAACCACUUGUGGCCUUAAUCUCAUCAGCAUCAGUUAUCCAGUUCGAGUCACUAUAACCCUCCAGUACCCUUGGAUACCCGGUGUAGUGAAUCCCAUAGCUCGUAGUGCCCUUCAAGUAGAGCAUAACUCUCUCAAGCGCACGCCAAUGAUCAUCUCCCGGUUUUGACACAAAUUGACUCAGCUUGCUCACAGCAAAAGAGAUGUCAGGCCUCGUGGCACUCGCCAAAUACAUAAGCGAGCCAAUAAUCUGAGAAUACCUCAGUUGAUCUCUAGCAAUCCGUCGAUUCUUUCGAAGCAACACACUAGCAUCUUAUGGAGUUGGAGAAGGCGUGCAGUCGCUAUACCCAAAAUGACUCAGGAUCUUUUCCACAUAGUGAGACUGAAGCAGUGUGAUCCCACCAUUCUCAUCUCUCAAUAGCUUGAUGUUUAAGAUAACAUCAGCUACUCCUAGAUCCUUCAUCUCAAAACAGCGAGAUAAGAAAUCCUUAACCUCCUUGAUUAAAUCAAGUUUGGUUCCAAAGAUCAAUAUGUCGUCGACAUACAGACAAAGAAUAACUCCUUCGCCCCCACCAUGGCGAUAGUACACACACUUGUCACCAUCAUUUACUACAAAGCCGACAGCAGUUAAUGUUCUUUCGAACUUCUCAUGCCACUCCUUAGGAGCUUGUUUAAGGCCAUAUAAAGACUUUAAUAACUUGCAAGAAGACCAUGUGAGGCAGCCAGUGAUAGUAGCACCCGAAUUGUGGUCAGUCUAGCCACGGGUGAGUAAGUAUCAAAGAAGUCUUCACCUUCUUUCUGGGUAUAACCCUUAGCCACAAGCCGUGCCUUGUACUUUUCAAUCGUACCAUCAGGUCUAAGCUUCUUCUUGAACACCCACUUACAUCCUACAGGUUUGCACCCAUAAGGAUGGUCAAUGAUCUCCCAGGUUCCGUUAGCUAAGAUGGAAUCCAUCUCGCUACGAACAACUUCCUUCCAGUAGUCAGCAUCAGGAGAUGCAUAGGCUUCUGAAAUAGUCCUGGGUGUGUCAUCCACAAGGUACACAAUGAAAUCAUCACCAAAGGACUUUGCAGUCCUCUGUCUCUUACUCCUUACAGGAGUUUCAUUGUCAUCCUCAACAGGAUUCUCAAUGUGUUCCAUCACAAUGGUGGGUUUCAGGAAUUACAGUGAGUUCCUCACUAGAUGGAGUAGGUAUCUCCUGAUUUGAUGAACUUGACAUAUCCUUCAUAGGAAAUAUGUCCUCAAAGAAAGUUGCAUCAUUAGACUCCAUAAUCGUACCAAUAUGCAUGUAGGAUACCUCAGAUUUUAUUAUCAAAAAUCUAUAGCCAAUGCUAUGAAAAGCAUAGCCCAGAAGAACACAAUCCACGGUUUUUGGUCCAAGCUUGCGCUUCUUGGGAAUUGGUAUAUUGACUUUCGCCAAACAACCCCAAGAACGUAGGUAAGAGAGUUUCAACCUUUUCCUUUCCCAUUCCUCAAAUGGAGUCAUGGUCUUAUGCUUUGUGGGAACUCGGUUUAGGACAUGACACGCGGUCAUUAGCGCCUCCCCCCACCAUUCCUUGGAAAGACCCGGUGUGUCUAACAUGACGUUAACCAAAUCAGUUAGAGUUCGGUUCUUUCUUUCGGCCACCCCAUUAGACUGAGGUGAGUAGGGAGGCGUCCUCUCAUGGAUUAUACCAUGUUCCGCACAAAACAGAUCAAAUUCAUUGGAAAAAUACUCUCCACCACGAUCGGACCUAAGCCGUUUAAUUUUUCGAUCAAGUUGGUUCUCUGCCUCAGCUUUAUAGUUUUUGAAGAAAGUUAAAGCCUCAUCUUUUGAUUUCAGAAGAUACACAUAACAAUGUCUAGUGGAAUCAUCAAUCAACGUCAUGAAAUAUCUCUUUCCACCUUUUGUCAACACGCCAUUCAUCUCACAAAGAUCAGAAUGUAUAAGCUCUAGUGGCGCCAAGUCUCUUGCCUCUGCAGUCUUAUGGGACUUGCGAAGUUGUUUAGCUUGCACACAUACUUGGCACUUAGAGUCUUUGACAGUAGAGAUUUUCGGAAUUAAAUUCAUAUUGGCUAGCCGCGUCAUGCAACCAAAGUUAAUAUGACAAAGUCGUGAAUGCCAAAUAUCCGACUCAUUAUUGUGGCAAACAUUAUUAAUAACUUUAGUACAAAUUUCUGACAAAGAUAGGCGGAACAAGCCUCCGCACUCAUAGCCUUUUCCAACAAAUUGUCCACACUUGGAAAUUACAACUUUAUUGGACUCAAAAACCAACUUAAAACCAUCUCGACAUAAACAGGAACCGCUAACGAGAUUUUUAUUGAUGGACGGCACAUGAUGAAUGUUCUUCAGACGCAUGGUCUUGCCCGAAGUAAACUUCAGAUCGACCGUACCGACACCCUGAACGAUGGCAUGUGACUCGUUCCCCAUCAGCACGGGAGAAGUCCCUGUGACCUAGUAAGAAGAAAACAUUGAGGCGUCAGCACAAACAUGUACAUUGGCACCGGUAUCAAUUAACCAAUCAGGAGAUUGAAAUACUGAAAGCAUGGUAGGAAGAAUACCGUACCCUGAUUCCUUCAUAUCAGUAUCACCGAUGACAACAUUAGCGGACUUGCCGCUCUUCUCAUGUUCACUCUCCUCAAAGCGGUUAGGACACUUCGGAGCCCAGUGAUUAGGAUCACCGCAAACAUGGCAAAGUCCCUUCCCCUUCUUGUGAGAAUUCUUCUUGAAGUUGAUAGAAUGUGAUGGCUUGUUCUUUGUAUCAAACUUGCCUUUGCCCUGAGUUUUGUUCUUGUUGUUUUUGAACUUGUUGGGCUGGAAGUUCUUCUUUUGUACCAUGUGGGCACUAGAAGCUCCCUCAGCAACUCGAGCAUGUGUGUCCUUUGCUCUUGCCUUCUCUUCAACAUCAAGAGUACUAAUGAGAUCCGCAACGGAAAACUCUUGUCUCUUGUGUUUCAGGGAAGUAGCAAAAUUGUUCCACAAAGGUGGAAGCUUGGCAAUGAUGCCUCCGGCAACAAAUUUGUCCGGCAACACACACUUGAAGUACUCAAGUUCUUUUGCGAGCGACUGUAUCUCAUGAGCCUGCUGUACAACAGAGCGCUCAUCAGUCAUCUUGUAGUCAUAGAAUUGCUCCAUGACGUACAACUCGCUGCCGGCGUCCGAGCCACCAAACUUGGCCUCGAGCGCAGCCCACAUGUCCUUGCCAUUGUCAAACGACAUAUACGACUCCACAAUGGAGUCAUUAAGAACACCCAAAAGAGCGCCUUUAAAGAGAUUAUCGAUAUUCUCAAAAGUUUCCAGCUGUGCUGGAUUAAGAUCGCCCUCGGGCUUGCCCUUGGUGGCGUCAUAGCAGCCCAUGGUCUGAAACCAGUAGACUGCUCUCGUGCGCCACCUCUUAUAUUGCGCCCCCUUAAAGGCAGGCGGCUUCAGAUGUGUAGCAAAACCACUCGGAGCAAAUUGCCUAUAAUCGGGUUUUUGGAUUGUUGGAAAUAUGAGCAAAUUACUACGAGAUUUAAUCCGAAUAAACAAAAGAUAAAUCAUGACUACAGUAGCAGAGAUUGAACUAAUCAUGCGAACUAGCAUAGCAGAUGAACAGAUCACAUCUAGCCACAAUCUCGAACAGAAGAUAUAGAAUCACAUACGAUGCAGCGGGAGCAGCACCGCCGGCAUUGACGUUGCCGCCCAUGUCGUCGAGGAUGAGGUUGCCGAGGUCGGGGAAGAAGUCAUCGUUCGCGAAGUCGUCGCUGCCAGCAGUCGCGCGAGUGCGCUCCAAAAAAAACCCGAUCGCCCCUCUCCCGUACAGGAUCACGAGAGGCGGGGUUCCGGAGGCCUGUUGUCCCUUCUCCCGGUGCAUGUCGAAAGGAGGGAUGGAAAAGACUUGUUUGGCGGCGCAAUGAUCUGGAACGGUGGUGAGAAACCAUGCGAAGCGGCGGCGGCUAGGGUCGACGUCUGCCUGACUAUGUAGUGCGGGUCGGGUAGGUCAUGGGAGUAAACCCCACGUCCGAGUCGUCAAGAUCCAAAAGAAUCGGUAAUGCGUUCGUUCCUCGACGCGGCGAGCGAGGAGGAGGAGCGCGCGUGUAGGUCUCCUAUUCUCACGCUCAUACAAGUGGUAGAAGAGCUCACCUUAUAAAGAGGUGCAACUCUCUCUCAACUUAUGAGGUGGGACUAAACUUUAGCCUCAUUCACUCCACUCAAAUGUGUGCAUGAAUGGCCAAGAGAAUUUCAGAAUUUUAGUUGGGCUUUGGGCCAAAAGCCCACUAGCAAAUUCCAACAAUACCUCUGUAGUUUCGCGGCACAUUGGAACAAGCGAUCAAUACCCUAUAGGCAUGCCAGCUUCACAACACAUAAGACUAGUCAUAGUGGGAGUAACUUAGGUAGUAACAUAGCACAUCCCAAGACAUAUAUGCUUAUGUGGCAUGAAGUUAAUGAGGAGAGAGGUGCUUGUGAUAACAUAAUAUGUUACCAUAACAUAACGCACCUCAAUGCAGUCUACAAUAUAAUAAAUGAAGGCUUACAUGACACUACACUUAUGUAACCACCCACUAUGAUGGUACUAACAUAGACUAGUAACAUAUGCAUGUUACUAGUUUAAGUUACUAUGCAAUAUGACUAGCCUAACAUUAGUUGUUUGGCUGUCCAAUGACAAAGGAAUUUGGCGUGCAUUUUGUUUUCCGAAAUGGACCAAAAGAGUCGCCUCAUCUCAUUAAUUAAGGAGGUGAGUCACAAAGUAAGAAAGAAAAAAGGAAACAAAGGCAUGUGCAAAAGGUUACUCUCCUAAUAAAAUGGCACUCGAGUGCCUAGCAUAAUUAACGGUGGGACGUAUUGGAUAUUCAAAAGGCGGACCCAAAAAUCUGCCAUUACACACUUUUUACGCACAACUCAUAAGGUAGCUAAUUUUGUUUCUUGAAUAAAUUAUCAUGUAACUGGGUCGAUGAGUCAUUAAUUUUAUUUUUAGUUUAGCUACCCAUGAUGCCAUUCCCUAAAGAAAAUAACACUAUCAGUGGAUGAACUGAGCCUAGCCGCUUAUUGCAAAAAAGAAUUUGCUUGCUUGAUUUAAGUUAUCGAUGCUAGUGUUAGAGUCGCCUUUGCACCUUAGACUUGGAAGUAUGACCGACAAGAAGAACAUAUAGUUGUGGAGGACGAGAGAUAAGAGUUGGAAACAUAUGGCAAAGUGGUGGCAAGUGAAGAGAAGGGCGGCGGCAACACGAGAGACUAGAUCGGGAAGGCAGAGGAAGGCUAGGGGCUAGCGCCCAUGAACGGCACACAACAACUUCGAAUCGAAAAGGAGAAAUUAAAGAGUCUGCCACGAAGGAUUCGGGCCAAUAACUUGAGAUCCAAAUUUGUCUCUUAAGAGUUUGUCAUGCAUGUUGCUUCGGGAUGUUGGUCCUUAUGAGCACGUGCACGAAAACUUCCCAAUUCUCAUUGACAAGGUCAAGCAGGCUUUGGUACGAGAGCGGCGAUAUCAACACAUCGGCGGCCCGUUCUGAUGCUAGCGGCGGUCGUUCGGUGGUACAAAGAUCUUGAUAUAAUUUUUAUUACAUUUGAGUUGCUUAAUACUACUUCUGAUGAACUUUUACACUUAAAAAAGAUAGCAUCCUUAAAACAAGAUAGAUCCUAGAUCCUAGAUUUUUUUUUUCGGGAAACCCAGAUCCAGACUUGGGAGCAGAUCAUUCUCACGUUCCCACGCUUGGAAGGAAGCCUCCCAAGUCCACGCCGCAGCAACGCGUGGUGCCACAGCACGUUUGGCGAGAGAGUCGCGUGCACGCGCCCUACGCAGCGCGUGCAGAUUCGGUCUCCGGAACGAGGAUAUGCCAGUGCUGAAUGCCGAUACGCCGUUGCGGUGGUGCCCAUCCGUUCGCUAGCUUGCGUUGCAUGGUCCCCGCCCGUGCCGGCGUGCAGUGCGCAGAACCCCGUAGCGAGCGAUGGUCCACCGGACCACAUGGACCGUGCACGAUCGUGAGUAGCAGACCGUCGUGUUCCUCUGGCAUAUGUUUCACGCAUCAAUCCAUCCUCUGGCCGUGAUUCGCAUCCAUGGGAAUUGAGGACACGCAUGCGGUAGAACGGAGCGAGCGUGCUAAUUUUAGCCGUGUGGAUGGAGCUUUCGAUCCCGGUGUUUCCGGUGCGUGGGGAGGGGGAGCACCGCCCCAAGGACUAGGGGCCUGUGUUGUGGCCACGCCCACGGGAGACCGGGGCAUUCUCGAGAAUUCGAGAUGAAAGGAACUCGCGUCACCAAGUUCAUACCCAAGUCCCUAUCUAAUUCAACCAACAAUUCAGUCAACCACCCGUUUCUUUUGCGCUCGAUUGCAUGCUUUGUAGUAUUCGUGUACAAGUCGCACUCCGACAAUAACAAACCCAUACGGGAGGGGAGCUCCAUUCGUACUAGUGCAGUAUUGCGCACACGCUUUCGUCAUACAAGAGAAACGCCAAAAAUGUUUCGUCCCGCACAACGCAACACAAAAGGUGAAGGUAUGCCCAGUUCGCCAUCUCACCUGGCAUGUGGCGAAAAAGGUUGCUCUCACAUAUAAGUAUUAUUUUGUACUCCAAAGAUAUAUUUCUUUACCCAAACACUCCUAUAUUAAACGCUCUUAUAUUUCUUUACAAAGGGAGUAAUGCUUAUAUAUAUAUAAACUGAAUUUUCAAGCAUAGGGUUGCAGUUUUUUUAGCAUGCUUAGUUUGAUUAAGCCUUGAUGUAAUCGAACAACUUUUCUUUAAGGGUACAAAGAGAGAUGGUGAUUUGUACCACACUUUUUGAUUCUCUUGGCAACUCAGCAUUGUAUUCUCAACGGUUCACGAGUAUAACAAAUGUAUUACAUGUUGAAAACAAUUUAUCACGGCGCAAACUGAGCCCAGGGCGCAUACAAGAUUACUCUCGAAAUUACUUGCUAAUCCUGCUGUGUUCCCGACACCAUAUCUCGUUCCAUCAAGUGAUGCAGCAGCUCAAGAUACACAAGGAUGUUGUUUCUCCGUGGGCUCGUCUAUUUGCAAGUCUUGUAGCUUCAUCAGGCACUGUGGGUAGUCUGGGUACAAACAACAUCAGCUAGGUAGUGGAGGAACCAAUCUGGCAUGCGCGCCUACUUAUGUGCUAUAGAAGAUGAGUCCAUGACGCUGCAUGAUUUGUCCAUGAACUGCAAAAUGGGCACAAGAAGUGAAGGAGAUCAGCACUUGCCGACCAAGUAGGCCGAUAUCACAGCGUAUGAUAUACGAGUGCACGUUUCUUACAAAAACAAUCCACAAUAUAAGGAGGUCAAAAUAAAGAUUUCUUCUUCAACAACUACCAAGAGAACCUACAAAUUCUAUUGGGGUGAUAAGAAGCGAGCAUACAACCCACUGGAGAGAACCAAUUACUGACAGAAUACUGACACUACCACAGGGUGUGAGUGAACCCCACUCAGAAUUCAGAUCAAACCAUGUAUAUAUAAGCAUUCCAACAACUGAGGAGUAACUAAUGAAACUUAUCAUGACAAGAAACCAAAAGCUAUACACAACGACCAAUAAUCUUUUUAUUUUUCGGGGAUUAACCACCAAUAGUUGAUAAGUCCUAAACCACACACCAAGAAUACUAGGAAGUGCUUAAACCAGAAGUUGCACAUGAUUAUGGUUGGCUGAGGCCACUGCAAAUGAAAGGUUUGAUGGCCCUACUGAUCAACACAUACUUGGAGUUAAUAAAGAUAAAGAUACUCCCUCCGUAAAGAAAUAUAAGAGCAUUUGGGAAUACUUCAUAACUCAUCAAAACACAAAAUGCAAGUAUGUAACCGAACUACAGAAGGAAAAAUAUCAAGUUAAAGUCAUACCUUCUUCAUGGAGUGUAAUUCCCGGCCAAAUGGUUCCAAGAACUUCAUCUCUAUAUCUAGGGGCCAAACCUGCAUAGAGAUAACAAAAUAGUAAAUAUCAAAAUUAGCAAAUGACUUUUGACUGCUUAUCAUCUGCAACAUUUCACAUUUUGGCUAUACAUACUAUUGGCGCUAUACAAAAAUAGUAAAUAUGCAGAAAAUGAAAGAUAAACAAGCAAAAGAAAAACACUAUGUGUGUGUAUAUAUGUAAACACCGGUCAGGCUGAAGGCACAGCUAACUGAACUUCUCAAGUAUUUGGAUGCCAUAUAUGUGACAAUUUAUUCAGCUAUCCAUUUAGAUGCUUGAAACCAUCAACAAGAGAAUGAAAUGGGCUAUAGUAUAGUACUCCCUCCGAUACAUAUUACUUGUCACAGUCCUAGUGCAAAUUUGUAGUGCAGCUGUACUAAGACUGCGACAAGUAAUAUGGAUCGGAGAGAGUAUAAGAGUUCUGACGUAAACACACACACCAUGAUAUGCAAACAAACAAUGAUCUCAGACAAUUGCUGGUGGUUUCUUUUAUCAAAUUAGAGAUACUGUAAAACAUGAACCUUAUAAUGCCAACCGUGUCCAGUGGUCAUAGACUAGUUUCCCACAACAGAAGGAACACAUCACUAAUUACAUGAUUGCUUUCCAACAAGUGAACGUCAUCUUUUUUCUUUCAAUUGGUGUGACUACGAAACCUGCAAACAAACUAACAGAACAUGUGUGGGCUAAUAAAAGUAUAGCGCACACAACUACAGAUGAUAACCAACGAACAACCACUAUCACCAAAGUAUCCAAUCAGAGGCGGAAUCAACCUAAUAUCAUUAUGACAUGGAAUCAAGUGGAUUUAUUCAACCAUGAUGCAUAAUUGAGCGAAUCUAUUCGAUCAUGAUGCAGAAUAGAAGAGAAACAUGGCACGCUUCACCUCAAAAACUAUGAUCACACCAUUCAACAGCUAGAUCGACAACAUAGGCGUAACGGUCAGAUACUGCUAGACAGCUACUAGAUCAAAACGUGGGCGUAACGAUGAGAUAAGGAGAGGGAUAGAUGGAUUUGUACCUUGAGUCCCAUCAGCCGCAGAGGCGCCUGCUGGCCGGGCACGAGGCACUCCGGGCCAGCAGCCUCAGCUACGGCCUCCAUGGCCAGCCCCAUCCCUAUCGGAUCCGGAUUCUGCAGAGAGAGAGAGAUGGGGAUCAAAUUCAGGCCUCCCCUCACCUACCCACCAACCGACGAAAAUUGAACCAAACCAAAACCAAGGCGGAGCGGUACGUACCCUCAUGAUGGCGAGGGCGUAGGCGGAGGAGUCGUCCUGGGCGACGCGGAGGACGGGGGCGUGGUGGAUGCGCGGGACGGGGCGGAUUCCGGCGGAGCCGGCGGCCGCGACGCGCCAGGGCGCGUCGUCGCCGGCGAGGUGCGGGCGCUUGGAGGCGGCCGCGGUGGGCGAGACGGACGAGGCCGUGGCCGGGGCGGCGGAGGCCGCCGCGGGCAGGGCGGCCGGCGAGGAGGCGGUGGUGGUGGUGAGGGACGCCAUCGGGAGGGAGCGGGGAGCAGGGAGCGGUGGGGCGCUCGCUCGCUCCGGUCCGGAGAGGAUAAGGCGGGGGGAGGGACGGAGGGGGAGACGAGGCCCGUUCCGUAUGCGUGUUGGCUCNNNNNNNNNNNNNNNNNNNNNNNNNNNNNNNNNNNNNNNNNNNNNNNNNNNNNNNNNNNNNNNNNNNNNNNNNNNNNNNNNNNNNNNNNNNNNNNNNNNNNNNNNNNNNNNNNNNNNNNNNNNNNNNNNNNNNNNNNNNNNNNNNNNNNNNNNNNNNNNNNNNNNNNNNNNNNNNNNNNNNNNNNNNNNNNNNNNNNNNNNNNNNNNNNNNNNNNNNNNNNNNNNNNNNNNNNNNNNNNNNNNNNNNNNNNNNNNNNNNNNNNNNNNNNNNNNNNNNNNNNNNNNNNNNNNNNNNNNNNNNNNNNNNNNNNNNNNNNNNNNNNNNNNNNNNNNNNNNNNNNNNNNNNNNNNNNNNNNNNNNNNNNNNNNNNNNNNNNNNNNNNNNNNNNNNNNNNNNNNNNNNNNNNNNNNNNNNNNNNNNNNNNNNNNNNNNNNNNNNNNNNNNNNNNNNNNNNNNNNNNNNNNNNNNNNNNNNNNNNNNNNNNNNNNNNNNNNNNNNNNNNNNNNNNNNNNNNNNNNNNNNNNNNNNNNNNNNNNNNNNNNNNNNNNGUCCGGUGGCGAAUGAUCUGUCUUUUUUUUUUUUGAGGGUCCGAAUGUUCUGUCGAGAAGUGUUGUUUACUAUUGUUGUUUUCUCUUGGACGUUUAUAUUGGUCAAGGUAUUAGUGCUAGUUAUUAGAGUUUUUAUAACGAGAUAUAAGGAGAGUUGUUUAUUUUGUGGGAAAAGUGCACCGGAGGAGGGGGUGGCUUACCAUCGAAGUUUACCUUUCUUUUUUAAACACGGGAAGGGAUUCUAGAUCUGGUAUUAAAAUAAAAAAAUAGUAGCCCUCUGUAAAGAAAUAUAAGAGUAUUUAGAGUAUACUAGUACAAAUGCCCGUGCGUUGCAACGGGCGAAAAAAUUACAAAACAUACUUCGUGUGCCACCUUGUGCCAUUUCUUAUAACCAAUUCUAUAAAUCUUGGUAAUAAGGUUGUUCGGAGCAUGAAGUGUGGACGUGAAGAACCAACCUAACUUGCUUUGUCUAGUGAAAGAGUAGUGGUGAAAUAGUAUGUGGAUCGGUUAUAUGUUUUGCUUUUAAAAAAACACAAAUAUUUGUUUAUUUUUUAAGAAAUUAAACAAUUUUAAGUUUUUUUAAUUGGAACUGGAACAUGUUUUGAGGCCAAACAUUUUAUGAACACAUUAUUUUUUUGAAUUUAUUUAUUUAUUUUGUGAACAAUUAUAUAUGUUUAUAUAUGUUUAUUUAUUUUGUUUUUAGGCAUUUCCUAAAAGUGUGAACAUAUUUAAAAUAUGUUUAUAUAUUUUUAAACCAAGAACAAUUAGAAACUCUCAUUAUCUUAAAAAAACACGCCCAAUGCCUGUAAAAAAAAAUGAUUCCUGGUGUCCGGACCAUGGAGUAUAGAGUUAGAGCAUGGUUAAUAGUAUAGCCGACCGCUGGCUAUAUGAUCUUGCCACAUCAUCUAUAUCCUACCUUAUAGCCAGCAAGUACAAUAGUUACAUAUAAAUAUGUACUACUUUGGUGAUACAUGACACAUCUUUCUCUCUCACAAAGUGUCUAGGAGCGCGUGCUAGAGGCGACUGUUAAUCAGUGCCCGCUUCUCUUCUCUCUCCUCUUCUCUCUCCUCCAAUUCAUAAAAAAUAUAAUAUUUAAACCCUUACAACCCGCCUACAUCAUCCUAUUGUACUUGCUUAAAGAAGUUGUAGUGGUGUCCUUUGAUGGCGCCUCUUUCAGCUUAGCACUAUCACUGGGUGGAAAAGUGGUGCAUUUAUUUUUAGUGGGUCAUACAAAUGUUAGAAUGUUCUAUACUAAUCAAGAGUUUAUUAACUAAUUCAAAAGUUUUGUUAGAAUUUUCAAAAGAUUUAAAUUCAAACGGAUUUUUACUAUGUGGAUUUUUUAGAGAUAAUUGUUUGUUUUGAUUUGGAAGAGUUCAAAUAUGCACGUGCGUUGCAAAAGGAGGGAAGAUUGAUGUGUCCACCAAAACACACAUCAUCAUAGCACGGCGGGGGUAGGGAGGUGCAUGCCGAUAGAUUCGUCAGUUUCUCUUUAACCAUGACAACCAACCUCUGGUUGGAUUGGAUGGUUUGGAGGGCGAUGGUACCCAAUACCAACAGGAAUUAAAAUCUAGCUUUGACGCUUUCAUGUCUCAUGAAGGCGAAAUAUUUUUUUUCUGGGUGGCGAUUUUCGCGCCGAUAGCGAGACACUUGUGGUGCGUUCAUCAGUCUCAAAACCCAUCCAGUCAGUCUCUCAAGGGGUUAGUGUAUGUAUGUGUGUGAGUCUCUGUUUGUACUGUGUUUUUCAAAAGAAGGUUCCAUCUAACUUUUGUAUGCAGCAAUUUAAUGUGUCGUGCGUCCCAUCGGAAGGAGAAAAUCAUCGCAUGUUUUUAGUGUCUCAUUCAUGUUGCCACUUUUCUUGUUUGACACCAUCCUCAAUGAUGAUAUGAUUUUUGGUGUUCGCAAUUUAGAAAACUUGAUGAACCCACAUUCAUGUCCUUCGAUGUUGCUUCAAUCAGCACCACACUAUCACCGGAUAGGAGUAGUGGUGCAUUGAUGUGAGAUUUUUAUAUAUAGUUAUUUGUUAAUAUUCAAAAGCAAGCAUGUUUUUGCUAUGUUGAUUUUCUUUUUAGAAAAUGUUGGUUGUUUGCUUUGCAAUAUUACAUUAAGUUUCUUUUCGUUUUGCACUUCUUGGACUUGGCCCAAACACAAGCUUCUCGUGUUGAUUGUAGGUUCUUUCUUUUAAAAAACACGCACAUUUUGUAGAGUCCAGAAUCGCACACGCAUCUCUUUCAGUUCUAGAUCACAAUAAAAAAGGAAAGUUUCCUAGCACAUAAUCUUAGUGUGCAUGUAUCCAACGGCUUGAAAAGGUGUCUGAGACUCCGUUAGCGAACCCUUUAAAGUUAGUAGAUUUUUUAGGGGUCUUUAAAAUUAGUAGCUGAAGUCAUUUAAAAAAAUAGCUAGCUCAAAGUAGAGGCGAAAGGCGAUGAUUGAAUUUAAAUGCAUAUUUUCUAAUUAGUGCAUCUAAUUCAUUUUUUUUAUAAAUAUCAAUUUAGUCAAGCAUAUGCCUGUAUGAUCGUUCACGUACGACAAUAUUUUUUUAAGAAAACUUAGUCGGCUCUGCUGUACGAGAUUACAAUAUUUCUUCUGGAUAAACUAUUGAUGUCAAAAUCCACAAAUACGAAUCAUAUGCAUAGCACGCAUGCACAACAAUCAUUGCCUUUCAACUGACUACAGACAAAUCACGAGCAUUUCCAUCCCAAACACCACACGGGGCGCAUCGUCGGCUUGUUUCUUGCAUGUUUACACCAAUGCAUAUAUGUACACACACACCAUAUAUGAGGUCUAGCUACGAACCUCUGGAGCAUUUGGUACUGCUCCCAUGCAUACUACUGCAGUGCAGCCGAUCAGGCGCUGUGCCCUAGAACCGGCGGGCUCCACUUCCCCAUGUUGUAGCUGUCCGCAAGCGCUGAUGCUGGCCUCCUUCUCGGUCUCGGAGACGCCAUUGUUGCAGAUGUUUGUGAACGCCCUCAUGUGUUUCGUGCCAUACUGAGUGAGUGAUCCGCACCGGGACUCGAAAUCUCGCACCUGACAGCAGUGAUUGGCAUCAGUACACAGUAAACUUAACCUGAACCGGAAACAUAAAGAGUACUGCAGGGUGUUGCAUAUUUAUGGGAUUGUAAACAAGGAAUUGUUACACUCACCAUCAUCUUCAGACAAUCCCAAUAGUCUACUAAUGGCUGGCCAGGGCCUUUAGUAGCCUCAAGCACCGAAGGUCCCUCAAAUCCAAAGACAAGCUUCCCGAUGAAAUCGAUACUGCUGUCGAGAUGCUUCCUGUGUAACACAGUUUCUUUGACCUCCCUGAGAGGUGAGAGCCCUCUGCUUCUCCUCUGAUCCAACAUUUAACUGCUCAUACUGAAAGCGAGAAGAUACAUUGUUAGCAGACAAAUUUGGCAAAACAAAACACAUGAAAAUUAGUAGUAACAGAGAAGAUGAGCUACACAAGAAAUAUAUAACUGGGAUUUUACCUUCUUCCACAUGAAAAGAAUAUCAACAUCUCUUUGAUUGAUUGCACCCUUGAGGCUGGGCGAAAGCAGCGGCCUGUUUGUGAUGCUUGACUUCACAGGAUAGAAACCUUGAUAAAGGAAAAGCUUGUCAUCCUUGAAUGUCUUGUUACCAUACUCCAUGACAUGAGAACCGAUAUUGGAGUCAUUUGGGGGUGCCGUUCUUGCUUUAACCACCUCGUACUGCUGCUUGAUGGUUUCCUUGUGUAGAUUGUGAGUUUCACUGCACAGUAGGAUCCCAUGGUUCAGAAUAGCAAGACAACAUACAGAGCAUAAAUAUUACACCUGAUGCUUUUUACCUGUCUUCCAUCCAAGAAACCCUGUAUGCGUCACCCAAGCAGGUCAUACAUUCAGGAGGAGCUGGUGUUUCCAUCCCAGGGCAGUAUGCUCCCUAGCUACUUUCUUCCGCAUUUGCUGCUGUUGUAACAUAAAUAUUAAGGUCUUGUGGCAUUAAUCCCUCAAAGAUACUGCCACUUUCACAUGCUUCAACAUAUAUGAUCUGCCAAAAUUGCAAUUCUAGUUGAAUAUAAGACUCAAAACAGACCGUUUCAGCUUAAUAAAUAUAUUUUUUAAUGGAAAAGAAAAAAGAGAGGAUAGAUACCAUCUCGGAAUAGCUUUUGGAAGCAUGCUUUUGCCGUAGCACUUUGAUGAAGUCGCCAGGAAAAAAAAAUGGCAGGUUGGGCAUACCUACAUGGGUCUUUAACAGAAUCAAAGACAUAGUGAGAGUGUUCCUGAGACUGAGGGCGUCUGCAAUGAUAAUCAUCAAAUGUUUUCGUGUCGUAACAAGAUCUGCGGACCCCAAUGCCUUGAUUAAAUGUACACAUGGUUCCAGCGGCACGAGCUUAAAAUUGCACAAAAGGACCAACAAACCUAGCUCUCGAUAAAAAAUAUAAGCUCCAAAACAUGUACAAUUAAUGAAACUUCUCUCUUCAACUUAUCCUCUGAAUAUUUUUACCAAUUUUUUUAUAUUUUUUCUCAAGAUGCUUAUUGACUUAAGCUUUCCAGAGUAAAAAGAAUCACUCAAUUCCAAGUUUACGUGAGGGGGUCAAUAAAAUCUCCAACCGAUCUAAAAAAUUGUGACAAACAAUGGUUCGCAACUUCGAAGGCCAAAAGAUUGUUCGAUAAAGAGCACAUUUGAAAUAGCAAAACAGAAUGCUAUGUGAUAAGAAAAAAUUCUGUUUUUCACCUAGACAUUAAAAAAAAUCUCAAGUCACUCUGAUCCAUUCUGUGUUAUUCAGUGCACUACAAUUUAUUCACCAACAAAAUAAAGACCAAGAAGCAAUGAAUCUGGAGGUUACUGACCUUGAUGCAGCAAAGGAGACACGGCUAUAUGUGGUUCUGCUCGAUAGCCCAUAAGUACAGCAUGAGAUCCUUCUUAUUGCUCCUGUACGUUGUCUCAUUCAGACAACUGUAGCUACUAACAUCAAUCAACAUUCCUUCCAAGAACUUGAAUUCGGUAGACACUAUCAAUGCCUUGGAGUACAUUGGAUCUAAAGGCAGCCUAGCCAUCUACCCACUGGAUUUGAAAGCUUACAAUGAUCAGUCAAAUAAUUUAUCAUAAUAACCUGAAUAAACCCACAUCAUGUAAGUAAUAUGAUAUCUCAAUUAGGGUGUGUGUCUAUGUGUGUGCCCAUGUAGCUAGUCUAUUUGCAAAUGAAACUGCUCCAAGAAAAUUUCAAUUAGAGCUAGGUGAUAGUGACAGAUUGCUACAUAUAUAUGUGAACCUGUAUUAUCAUACAGUCAUACAUACUUGAGCUAGCUGAUAGUGAUAGAUUACUACAUCUAUAUGUGAACCUUUAUUAUCCUACUCUGCUUCUCUUGAUCCUCUUUGCCUUGCUAUAAAGCUCAGUUUUGGAAACUUAACCCUGAACUUCCAAAACAUGCUUUCAUUUUCCAAAAAGGAAGUAAAUUUCUUUGGCAUGAUCAAGCCAAAUCAACCUUAUCCAUCUUGGUCCCUAGCUCAAAUGAUAUAAAGUUGAGGCAACUGACCUUUUCCACUUUACAAUCAGAUUACAGUCUGCAUAACCCUGGUCCAGGCAAAACUCAUACAGAUCAUUUGACAUAUCCUUCCUUCUAUGGAAAAGAUCAUAAAUGUAAUGGCUUCUUGAAAUGCGGGAAAUUGGGUAGAGUGCUUUGCACUUUCUCUUCCUGUCAUGUGUAUCAUUUUCAGAUGUGCGUGCAGAUCAUAUUAGUACUCAUCCUGUAGUAUGAAAUAUCAAUCGACAUCUGAAAAGGUCACAUUGAUAGAUAGCAUGCUUAAUAAAAUGCAUACCUUCUCUAAUUUUGGCAUCCAGCUCACAGAUUGUGGGUUCAAUAAGCACCCACCCUUCAGUAUAUUCGACAUGGCCUAUCUUUAUCUUAGGCAUACUAUCACAAGGGGUGUCCUAAGGCAGGCUUGGAAUGCACAAACCUGAGAAACAAUAGAACAUAUGCCUUGUCUGGGAAUUGCAACUUAUAAUUAUUAAAAGGAACUGUCACAUACAUAAACUAAUCAGACCAGCAGGCACUCAAUUGACUGAACAAAACACUCUCAUUAAGCGAUUAACUAUCUCUUAUGAUAUCUAUGGUAUAAUAGAAUAAACAAAUCAGAAAAGCAAUAUAUGAUGACUGAAACUGGUUGUUUGCUAUCAAGAAAAGUAGUGGUGUUGCAGCAAGAUGAUCUGAAUGUAAAUCAAAUGGAGCUGAAUUUUAACCGUGCUUCUUGCGGCUAGUUCAUCUAGCGAUGGAAUAUGAGUAAACCAUCUAGCUUAACAUAACUAUUUAAUAGGUUCAGUUUUUAUUCCUGUCAAAUCUGAAUAUAAAUACCACAACAGUUACCAACUUCAUGAUGUGUGUAUCAGGACCACAUAAACUUUCUGAAGUUUUCAUGCUAAUACUCCAAUUCUGGAGUUUUACUGAUACUCCAAAGUAAAAAAGGUACAUCAUACAUUUUUCCGAGUGUUGAUCAAAAUUUCCAGAAACAGCAGCCCAUUGAUAUUUGGAAAAGAGGUUUGAGCUGAACCAUAUCUUCAAGCAAGUUAAUUCUCAAUCAUGUGUCAGGCGUACAACACAUUACUUCCUCGGGGUCGCUAGAACUAAAUUUAACAGUAUGAAUAGCAUAUAUAGGUAAUUUCUGAUGGUCAUCACAAUACAGCAAACCAAACGAAUAGAACAUCUUUGUGACAGCGAAAUUAUAGGAAAUCAGUAUGAUUCUAUCUAUAUCAAUCGACCAGAAGGUACAGGUUACAGUAAGCAACCGAAGAAUAUAUAAAAUCCUAUCAAAACUCAUGCUCUUUUCAAAUUUCGGUUUCAAAAAGAUUACAGUAAGCAACCGAAGAAUAUAUAAAAUCCUAUCACAACUCAUGCUCUUUUCAAAUUUCAGUUUCAAAAAGAUCCUAAAACAUAACAAACAUGUCGCAAAAAGCCAUCAAAACAAGCCGAUCAAUCAAUUCAGAUCAAAUUCUACUGACACGUCCAUCUCCCUUGUUCAUCCAGAAGGAAGCAGAAAUAGGCGUCCUGACAGUCAGCGACACCAAGAUAACCACAGGCGGUAUGGCCGUCAGCCCGACACCAAGGUUCUGGCUCCCACGGUCGGUCAACUUGGCUGUGCUACAGGACAGCCACAUGGGCGUCGCACUGACUUGAAGACCACAUGCAUGUGGAGCAUGAGCGUGGUGGUAGGCUCCGACGACCACGAGUGCAGCAACUCCAACGGCCAACAAACUUGUGUAUGUGCUAGGUCCUGUUGUUAAUAGAAGGAACUUGCAAGCUUGCUAUGAAUGUGAGGAAAAAAUGGCGUUGUAGACAUGUGAUAUCCUGACUUGAUUGAACUGGAAACAGAAAAGAAAAAAUGGGAGGGAGAUGACCAAUUGUCAAGCUGAAUGUUGUGUGUACUUGUAUUAGUUAAAACUGACCCAUUCACUGUACGAUUUUAUCUUUGAAAGAUGGUUGGAAGAGAAAUCUUAUUUAUAUGUAAGUUAAUUCUGCAGAUGACAGGUCAUGGUUUUGCUUGUUUGCAACCUGCAACAUCUUAAUUUCUUUACUUUGCACAUGAAUAUGUAGAUGGAUGGAAUUUGACAGCAUAACAUCAUCUAUAUAUUACAAAAUUUGAUAGGCCCAUGCAAUUUGACAGCAAUGUAUCAGAAAACUUGGUUAACCAAUGGUUUCUGCAACUCAAGUAAAUGGGGAAUGAGUGAUUUUCUGCAGUUCAAGAACAUGGCGAUUUAUGAACAGAUCGUGGGGAAUUAGGAAAAGAGAGGAGAUGAAUGGAUUACCUGAUGGUGAUGAAGUCCUCAUUCGUACGCCACCCCUGGCCUGGUUGGUGUACUGUCGCCCGACCGGCCGGCUCUGGAUCCCUCCGUCUGCAGCGCACGUCCUCCGUCGCUCGGCUCUGGCGAGCUCCUGCCUAGCACACCGCACCUCCCCUCCUUCCUUCCUUCUUCUCUCCCUCAUCUCCACUCUUCUUUCUGCCCAGGAGCCGCGGAUGCCAUGGAUCUGCCAGGGAAACCACGCUUCGGCCUUCCUCAUCGUCACCGGCGACCCCUGCCUCGCCGCCUGCCUCCGAAUCGGCCUCCCCAGCCUCUGCUGCACACGGAUCCGGCCCCUACAAGCUCCAGCCGCCGGCGUCGUGCCGCAUCGAGCAGCCGCCGCCGCCAGACGCCGGCGUCGUUCCGCAUCGAGCAGCCGCCGCCCCCAGUCGCUCGUUAUGCACGGGUCUUUUUUGCAAUGUUUUCUGAGAGCCAGGAUCGCGGGUUCAAUACACCAAAAUGGAGAGUUUUUUUUGUAAAAACGAAACGUUUUCUCUGGUAACCACUAAAACAGGGACUGCGGGUUGAUUUCGUGUAAACUGAGGGGCUGUUUUGCAAAACAACCACGACGGACGACCAGAAGCAAUCGCUGGUUUAUUAGUAGGUAAAAAGAUAAUAUGACGAUUGCUGCGAAUCCGGCUGGGUAGCCGUUCGAUCGAUCAAUGCGCGGGUGCCGUUGGAUCACAACGAUGCCACGGAAGCAGCAAGGCCUGCGACUGCUUUGACGUAACGAUGCUGCACCUCGGCAGAACCUCCACCGCAGCUCUCAUGGCGCACCACCGCGCGUCCGGCGAAGCUCCAACGCAGCACCGACGACGUCCGGCGAAGCUCCAAUGCAUCUCCGGUAGAGCUCCAACGCAGCACCCGCGACGUCCGGCAGAGCUCCGAAGCAGCACCGACGGCGUCCAGCGAAGCUCCAAUGCAACUCCGACGGCUCCGGUGAAGCUCCAAUGCAACUGCGGCAGAGCUCGAUGAAAGCACAAGUGCUCCCUAGGUGGUUUUGGUAAUUAAUGUUAACAUAUCUCUUGUUGGACUAACACUUUUAUCUAGCAUGUUUCAGAUACGUUCAACAAUGGAGUGGCAUGGACUAAAGGAUAUGGGAACUCCUUGCGGAUGCUAAGGACAAAGGAUUGGCUCAAGCUUCAAGCUCAAGACUCUUCAUUUUACAUUUUAGUGGUCCAAGAUCACAUUGAGUCUAUAGGAAAAGCCAAUACUAUCAAGGAGGGAUGAGGUGUUGCUUAAUGAGCCUCUUGCUUCAUGUGCUUAGUGAUAUGCUCCAAAACCCUCAACUAAUUUCUCACUUCCACAAAUGACCUAAACCUAAAGCCAAAAUCGGUCACACCGAUUCUUCCUAUCCGGCGCCACCGAUUCCAAAAGUCAUAGCCACUGCCACAAAUCCUAAGCAAAUCGGUCUUACCGAUAGGGACCUCGGUCUCACCGAGAUUACUAUGUAUGUCCAUUACCAAAAUCGGUCUCACCGAGUUUGAGCAAUCGGUACUACCGAGAUUACAAUGCAAACUCUCUGGAUAACUUAUUACCAAAAUCAGCGCCACCGAGUUUGAGUAAUCGGUCCCACCGAGUUUGCCUGACCAACUCUCUGGAAAGCUUGUUACCAAAAUCGGUCUCACCGAGUUUGUGUAAUCGGUCUUACCGAGAUUACGUUAUGCCCUAACCCUAACCAUAUCGGUCUCACCGAGUUGCAUUUCGGUCCCACCGAAAACCCUAAUGGUCACAUUAUUUGCUAAAUCGGUCUGACCGAGUUUAACGAUUUAGUCCCACCGAGUUUGGUAGAUUGUGUGUAACGGUUAGAUUUUGUGUGGAGGCUAUAUAUACCCCUCCACCUCCUCUUCAUUUGUGGAGAGAGCCAUCGGACAGAACCUACACUUCCAGCAUACAUUUUCUGAGAGAGAACUACCUACUCAUGUGUUGAGGCCAAGAUAUUCCAUUCCUACCAUAUGAAUCUUGAUCUCUAGCCUUCCCCAAGUUGCUUUCCACUCAAAUCUUCUUUCCACCAGAUCCAAAACCUAUGAGAGAGAGUUGAGUGUUGGGGAGACUAUCAUUUGAAGCACAAGAGCAAGGAGUUCAUCACCAACACACCAUUUGUUACUUCUUGGAGAGUGGUGUCUCCUAGAUUGGCUAGGUGUCACUUGGGAGCCUCCGACAAGAUUGUGGAGUUGAACCAAGGAGUUUGUAAGGGCAAGGAGAUCGCCUACUUCGUGAAGAUCUACCGCUAGUGAGGCAAGUCCUUCGUGGGCGACGGCCAUGGUGGGAUAGACAAGGUUGCUUCUUCGUGGACCCUUCAUGGGUGGAGCCCUCCGUGGACUCGCGCAACUGUUACCCUUCGUGGGUUGAAGUCUCCAUCAACGUGGAUGUACGAUAGCACCACCUAUCGGAACCACGCCAAAAACAUCCGUGUCUCCAAUUGCGUUUGAAUCCUCCAAACCCUUCCCUUUACUUUCUUGCAAGUUGCAUGCUUUACUUUCCGCUGCUCAUAUACUCUUGCAUGCUUGCUUGAUAUGUAUUGUGAAUGUUAAACUUGUGCCUAAACUCCACUUAAACUUAAGGAAACUUAAAAACUGCAACUUUGGUACUUAGUGUCUAAUCAGCCCCCCUCUAGACACCUCUUCUCAAGGUCCUACAAGUGGUAUCAGAGCAUUGGUCUCCAUUGCUUUGGUUUAAUCACCAUUGGAGGAAGAUGGAUGAGUCUACUAUUGGGAGUCUUAGACAUAGAGUGCCUAUUCUUGAUGAAGAGUAUUUUCAUGAGUGGAAAAAUGAGAUGCUUGUAAUUUUCAAUCAAUAUCAUUUGAACAAGUACAUUGCUAGCCCUUGUGCACCUUAUGUUGAUCCUAUGCAUCCUACCCAUGAUGAGUCAAUUGACAUGAUUAGGAAUCUUAGAACUGCCGAACUUAUCAUUAGAGGAUUGCCUAGAAACUUGAUUGGUUGUUUGCCUACUUUCAAGUGUGCCUACACUAUAUGGAAAUUUCUUGAGGAACGAUUUCCAGAUUAUUCCUUGAAAAAUCUUGAUGAAAUUCUUCAUAAGUCUAUUGCCUUGAGUAAGAUGAAUUCUAGUGAUCCUAUGUUUGGUGAUCGUCUAUUUGAGCUUACAAACCUUAUGCGUGUCAAAGGAAAUGUUGGUAUUAUUAGUGAUAUUAUUUCCAAAGCUAUAAAAAUUCAUAAGCAAGAUCAUUGUCAAACUCAUUCUAAUGAAUCACCCUCUCUAGGAUUUGAUCCACCACAUGACGAUGUUGAACAUGGAUACUAUGAUGAGGAUGAUGAUAGUGACUUCGAUCUUGAUGAUGCAAUGAGACAUUUUGGUCUUAUGGCAAAUCUUCGGGGAUAUAUGUCAGGAGGAAAGGAAUGGGUUCUUGAUAGUGGAUGUACCCAUCACAUGACUGGAGAUAAAGACAUGUUUCGUGAGCUUGCUGAUAAUGAUAGUCCUUGAAAGUAUGUCACUUUCGGUGACAACUCAAAGGGUAAGGUGGUUGGCCUCGGUAAGGUGGCCAUAUCACAUGAUAGCUCCAUACAAAAUGUUAUGCUCGUUGAAUCUCUUGGAUACAACUUACUUUCAGUAUCUAGACUUGUUGAUUUCGGUUUCAAUAUAUUAUUUACUGAAGUAGAUUGCCAAGUCUUUCGUCGAGACAAUCAUAAAAUGGUCUUUACCGGUGUGCGUAGAGGUGAUCUAUACAUUGUUGAUUUCACUAAAAAGGCUCAACCUAAAACUUGCUUCAUUGCUAAAUCCUCAAAAGGUUGGUUAUGGCAUAGACGACUAGGUCAUGUUGGUAUGCGAAACCUUGACAAGCUUAUAAAAGGAAAUCAUAUCCUUGGAGUUAACGAUGUCAUAUUUGAUAAGGAUAGACUUUGCAGUGUUUGUCAAGCAGGUAAACAGGUUGGAGGAAGGCAUCCCGUGAAGAACAUCAUGACCACAAGGAGGCCACUCGAGCUACUUCACAUGGAUCUCUUUGGUCCCAACUCUUACAAGAGUCUCGGUGGAAAUUCUUUUGGUCUAGUUAUAGUUGAUGAUUUUUCAAGAUUUACGUGGGUGUUCUUUCUCGAUGAUAAAUUUGUUGGGGAACGUAGUAAUUUCAAAAUUUUCCUACGCACACGCAAGAUCAUGGUGAUGAUAUAGCAACGAGGGGAGAGUGUUGUCUACGUACCCUCGUAGACCGAAGCGGAAGCGUUGACGCAACGUAGAGGAAGUAGUCGUACAUCCUCCCGGUCCGACCGAUCCAAGCACCGUUACUCCGGCACCUCCGAGUUCUUGACACGCGUACAGCUCGAUGACGCACCCUCGAUCUCCAAUCUAGUAGAGGCGCCGAGGGGGAGUUUCGUCAGCACGACGGCGUGGUGACGAUCUUGAUGUUCUCCUGUCGCAGGGCUUCGCCUAAGCACCACCACAAUAUGAUCGAGGUGUAAUAUCGUGGAGGGGGGCACCGCACACGGCUAAGGAACGAUCAAUGAUCAACUUGUGUGUCUAGGGUGCCCCCCUACCCCCGUAUAUAAAGGAGGGAGGGAGGAGGUGGCCGGCCCAAGGGGGGGCGCGCCAUAGGAGGAGGAAACCUACUCCAAGUAGGUUUCCCCUCUUUUUCCUAAUCCAAGUUGGAGGGGGGAGGAAGGAGUACUAGUAGNNNNNNNNNNNNNNNNNNNNNNNNNNNNNNNNNNNNNNNNNNNNNNNNNNNNNNNNNNNNNNNNNNNNNNNNNNNNNNNNNNNNNNNNNNNNNNNNNNNNNNNNNNNNNNNNNNNNNNNNNNNNNNNNNNNNNNNNNNNNNNNNNNNNNNNNNNNNNNNNGAAGGAGAAAGGAAAGGGGGGGGGGGGCCCUCCCAAAUUCGGAUUGGGCUUGGGGGGGCGCGCCCCCCUCCCUUGCUCCUUUUCCCUUCCUUCCACUUGGGCCCAAUAAGGCCCAUAUACUUACCGGGGGGUUCCGGUAACCUCCCGGAGCUCCGGUAUAUUCCCAAACUCUCCCGGAACCUUUCCGGUGUCCAAAUAUAUCCGUCCAAUAUAUCAAUCUUUAUGUCUCGACCAUUUCGAGACUCCUCGUCAUGUCCGUGAUCAUAUCCGGGACUCUGAACAACCUUCGGUACAUCAAAAUACAUAAACUCAUAAUAUAACUGUCAUCGAAACCUUAAGCGUGCGGCCCCUACGGUUCGAGAACAAUGUAGACAUGACCGAGACACGUCUCUGGUCAAUAACCAAUAGCGGGACCUGGAUGCCCAUAUUGGUUCCUACAUAUUCUACGAAGAUCUUUAUCGGUCAAACCGCAUAACAACAUACUUUGUUCCCUUUGUCAUCGGUAUGUUUACUUGCCCGAGAUUUGAUCGUCGGUAUCCAAUACCUAGUUAAAUCUCGUUACCGGCAAGUCUCUUUACUCGUUCUGUAAUACGUCAUCUCAUAACUAACUCAUUAGUUAUAUGCUUGCAAGGCUUAAGUGAUGAGUAUUACCGAGAGGGCCCAGAGAUACCUCUCCGACAAUCGGAGUGACAAAUCCUAAUCUCGAAUUAUGCCAACUCAACAUGAACCUUCGGAAACACCUGUAGAGCACCUUUAUAAUCACCCAGUUACGUUGUGACGUUUGGUAGCACACAAAGUGUUCUUCCGGUACACGGGGGUUGCACAAUCUCAUAGUUGCAGGAACUUUGUAUAAGUCAUGAAGAAAGCAAUAGCAGUAUACUAAACGAUCAAGUGCUAGGCUAACAAAAUGGGUCAUGUCAAUCACAUCAUUCUUCUAAUGAUGUGAUCCCACUAAUCAAAUGACAACACAUGUCUAUGGUCAGGAAACAUGACCAUCUUUGAUCAAUGAGCUAGUCAAGUAGAGGCAUACUAGUGACUAUAUGUUUGUCUAUGUAUUCACACAUGUAUCAUGUUUCCGGUUAAUACAAUUCUAGCAUGAAUAAUAAACAUUUAUCAUGAUAUGAGGAAAUAAAUAAUAACUUUAUUAUUGCCUCUAGGGCAUAUUUCCUUCAGUCUCCCACUUGCACUAGAGUCAAUAAUCUAGAUUACAUAGUAAUGAUUCUAACACCCAUGGAGUCUUGGUGCUGAUCAUGUUUUGCUCGUGAGAGAGGCUUAGUCAACGGGUCUGCAACAUUCAGAUCCGUAUGUAUCUUGCAAAUCUCUAUGUCUCCCACUUGGACUUGGUCCCGAAUGGAAUUGAAGCGUCUCUUGAUGUGCUUGGUCCUCUUGUGAAAUCUGGAUUCCUUUGCCAAGGCAAUUGCACCAGUAUUGUCACAGAAGAUCUUCAUUGGUCCCGAUGCACUAGGUAUGACACCUAGAUCGGAAAUGAACUCCUUCAUCCAGACUCCUUCAUUUGCUGCUUCAGAAGCAGCUAUGUACUCCGCUUCACAUGUAGAUCCCUCCAUGACGCUUUGUUUAGAACUGCACCAACUUACAGCUCCACCGUUUAAUAAAAACACGUAUCCGGUUUGCGAUUUAGAAUCAUCCGGAUCAGUGUCAAAGCUUGCAUCGACGUAAUCAUUUAUGACUAGCUCUUUGUCACCUCCAUAUACGAGAAACAUAUCCUUAGUCCUUUUCAGGUAUUUCAGGAUGUUCUUGACCGCUGUCCAGUGAUCCACUCCUGGAUUACUUUGGUACCUUCCUGCUAAGCUUAUUGCUAAGCAUACGUCAGGUCUGGUACACAGCAUUGCAUACAUGAUAGAGCCUAUGGCUGAAGCAUAGGGAACAUUUUUCAUUUUCUCUCUAUCUUCUGCUGUGGUCGGGCAUUGAGUUCGACUCAACUUCACACCUUGUAGCACAGGCAAGAAUCCUUUCUUUGCCUGAUCCAUAUUGAACUUUUUCAAUAUUUUGUCAAGGUAUGUGCUUUGUGAAAGUCCUAUUAAGCGUCUUGAUCUAUCUCUAUAGAUCUUGAUGCCUAAUAUGUAAGCAGCUUCACCGAGGUCUUUCAUUGAAAAACUUUUAUUCAAGUAUCCCUUUAUGCUAUCCAGAAAUUCUAUAUCAUUUCCAAUUAAUAAUAUGUCAUCAACAUAUAAAACUAGAAAUGCUACAGAGCUCCCACUCACUUUCUUGUAAAUACAGGCUUCUCCAAAAGUCUGUAUAAAACCAUAUGCUUUGAUCACACUAUCAAAACGCUUAUUCCAGCUCCGAGAUGCUUGCACCAGUCCAUAAAUGGAACGCUGGAGCUUGCAAACUUUGUCAGCACCUUUUGGAUCAACAAAACCUUCUGGCUGCAUCAUAUACAACUCUUCUUCUAGAAAUCCAUUCAAGAAUGCAGUCUUGACAUCCAUUUGCCAAAUUUCAUAAUCAUGAAAUGCAGCAAUGGCCAACAUGAUUCGGACAGACUUAAGCAUCGCUACGGGUGAGAAAGUCUCAUCGUAGUCAACCCCUUGAACUUGUCGAAAACCUUUUGCAACAAGUCGAGCUUUAUAGACAGUAACAUACCAUCAGCGUCAGUCUUCUUCUUAAAGAUCCAUUUAUUCUCAAUGGCUUGCCGAUCAUCGGGCAAAGUCAACCAAAGUCCACACUUUGUUUUCAUACAUGGAUCCUAUCUCAGAUCUCAUGGCCUCUAGCCAUUUUGCGGAAUCUGGGCUCAUCAUCGCUUCCUCAUAGUUCGUAGGUUCAUCAUGGUCAAGUAACAUGACUUCCAGAAUAGGAUUACCGUACCACUCUGGUGCGGAUCUUACUCUGGUAGACCUACGAGGUUCAGCAGAAACUUGAUCUGAAGUUUCAUGAUCAAUAUCAUUAGCUUCCUCACUAGUUGGUGUAGUUGUCACGGGAACCGGUUCUCGUGAUGAACUACCUUCCAACAAGGGAGUAGAUACAGUUAUCUCAUCAAGUUCUACUUUCCUCCCACUCACUUCUUUCGAGAGAAAUUCCUUCUCUAGAAAGGAUCCAUUCUUAGCAACGAAUGUUUUGCCUUCGGAUCUGUGAUAGAAGGUGUACCCAACAGUCUCUUUUAGGUAUCCUAUGAAGACACAUUUCUCCGAUUUGGGUUCAAGCUUAUCUGGUUGAAGUUUCUUCACAUAAGCAUCGCAGCCCCAAACUUUAAGAAACGACAACUUUGGUUUCUUGCCAAACCAUAGUUCAUAAGGCGUCGUCUCAACGGAUUUUGAUGGUGCCCUAUUUAACGUGAAUGCGGCCGUCUCUAAAGCAUAACCCCAAAACGAUAGCGGUAAAUUGGUAAGAGACAUCAUAGAUCGCACCAUAUCAAGUAAAGUACGAUUACGACGUUCGGACACACCAUUUCGUUGUGGUGUUCCAGGUGGCGUGAGUUGUGAAACUAUUCCGCAUUGUUUCAAAUGUAAACCAAACUCGUAACUCAAAUAUUCUCCUCCACGAUCAGAUCGUAGAAACUUUAUUUUCUUGUUACGAUGAUUUUCUACUUCACUCUGAAAUUCUUUGAACUUUUCAAAUGUUUCAGACUUGUGCUUCAUUAAGUAGAUAUACCCAUAUCUGCUCAAAUCAUCUGUGAAGGUGAGAAAAUAACGAUAUCCGCCACGAGCUUCAACAUUCAUCGGGCCACAUACAUCUGUAUGUAUGAUUUCCAACAAAUCUGUUGCUCUCUCCAUAGUUCCGGAGAACGGCGUUUUGGUUAUCUUGCCCAUGAGGCACGGUUCGCAAGUACCAAGUGAUUCAUAAUCAAGUGAUUCCAGAAGUCCAUCAGUAUGGAGUUUCUUCAUGCGUUUUACACCGAUAUGACCUAAACGGCAGUGCCACAAAUAAGUUGCACUAUCAUUAUCAACUCUGCAUCUUUUGGCUUCAACAUUAUGAAUAUGUGUAUCACUACUAUCGAGAUUCAAUAAAAAUAGACCACUCUUCAAGGGUGCAUGACCAUAAAAGAUAUUACUCAUAUAAAUAGAACAACCAUUAUUCUCUGAUUUAAAUGAAUAACCGUCUCGCAUCAAACAAGAUCCAGAUAUAAUGUUCAUGCUCAACGCAGGCACCAAAUAACAAUUAUUUAGGUCUAAAACUAAUCCCGAUGGUAGAUGUAGAGGUAGCGUGCCGACGGCGAUCACAUCGACUUUGGAACCGUUUCCCACGCGCAUCGUCACCUCGUCCUUG